GGGCCAAGGCGCUAUUGGAGAUGCGCAAAAAAUAUCCAUCGGGAGAUGGCGCUGACGCUGACGCUAACGCUCGCAAGGCGGUUUUGCAGGCAAUUUCACAAAAUAGUUUUUUUUUCGUUGAGCUCAUAACCCGGUUUGGGCCGAUUGACUCUGAGAGCGAUCGAGGGGUCGCGGGCUCACACCUUGCUUUUGCGCAUAGGAUCGAAGAGAUCCUAGAAUUUCAUGGAAAGAGCAGCGGCUCUCUGAAAGACCUCAUUGAUCUGAAAUUGGAUUUGGAAGACGCCUCUAAAAGAGAGGAGAUUCUACUUCCAUAUUUUUCCUCCAAAAAAGAGGCAAAGUCCUAGCGUGAUACAAAAAGAAAUAAUGGGCAAGGGCGGGGAAUGAUAGGUUCAUAGAUGUGGAGUAAUCAGUUCUUCAUUUGAAGAGUUAGUUGGCUGGCCUACCGGCCCGCAGAUGUAAAGAGGUUGCCCCCACCAUCCUCUUGAACUGCGAAAUCAAAGCGAUUCCUGUUGAUGGAAGAAAGGCUAAUUUCGUUUGAUCCGAUCCGCCUAUGCCAGUUCGAGUCUGGCGCGUCGCUAUCAUCUGUUGCCCUAACUUUUUCUAUUAGCUCAUCUUGUCCGUAGUGAUAUUUUGGAGAAGGAGCAAUUACCGGAGUGAGAAAGGUAGAAAGAAGCAAUCACGAAAGCUAGUGCUAGUUGUGGCUUUUUGUACUAAUCUUGUUUGUUCGGUAGCUCGCAUCAGCAGCUUUAAAAGGAAUGGAAAACGAGGCUUUUUCCACCACACCAGGGGCGGGCAUUACGCUCAAGAAGGGGAAGUCAAUUUGACUGCUGCUCGAGAACCUGUUUGAACAAGAAGAAGUAGCAUGGCUCCAGCGGGGCAGAGCCAAUGGGUGUUUUUGAGGUCCUUUUUCCGAUCAGUUUCAUGCCAGUAUGGGGUCAAAGUAUACAAAAAUCACAUUCUCCCCAUAGAACGCUGUUUUUAGAGCUCUCCUUUUUUGGAAACUUUCAUUGCGCAUAGUACGAAAACCAACAGAAAUCCCACUGGCAAAGGUGUUGUGCCGGUUGCCGACCAGGCGAUCGACCAGCUUCCGACCAGAAGCGUUGGUCCAGUGAGGUGAGCCACGACCAGAACAGAGCUGUUACAAAGGAAGCCCACUCCCUUAUGUUCUGAUGGGAAAUAGCACUAGGAUCUGUAAUAGUUGUAUCUGCUUUCCUUUGGUUUGCAUGGGCACGUGAUACAUUCCUAGCAUGACGUUGGAACAAGCAAGGGCCCAGCGUGAUCCAGAGGGCAAGCCCAUCCCGGGUAACUUUGUAUCCUGACCCAAGCCGGAAGUUUGUCGAACUUGUAGUCUAGGACAUUGGUAGGGAUCCGCAUGGGCACGCUGAACAAUCCGAUGGCCACCCGCAACACGAAACAUCGGCCCCACUCGUAGCUCUUGCCGAUCAUCCCUAUCUCUACCGGGCCUGUAUUCCCCGCCUCGCUGAUACUUAUUCAUUUCUUUGAAUUGAUAAAGAUGGGUAUCCAUGCCUCUUAGUUCCGGGGAGAUACUGGUUAUGCCAGUGUGGACAAGUUCAAAUGGAGCAAACCCGCAAGAGCAUGGAGCAUAGGAUUUGAAUUAGCCCAAUGCGGAUGGCAGCGAUCGAGCAACUAAACGAGCGAACUCCAAAUAGAAAUCUUUUGCGCUUUCCUAAUGUGUUCUAACAGAUGUUACAAGCUUCGAUAAUCUAGCGUGAACUAACCCGAACUAUGGUUUCACUUCCCUAAACUAUGUGGUAUAAUCACUUUAAGUGAAGCAUGUCCCGAUGAUUCCCCGGAUAGGAGAAGGCCAGCUGGGUCAUUUGUUUGUAUAAUUACGAGUCAAUUCACUCCUGCGGUUUUUGCCCGAGUAAAAAGACAAGCAAGUCCUUUGAGUACACAGCGAACGAAGUGCCAGAAUGUGAGCCUAGGGUGAACAGUGGUGCUUCCAUGGCAGUUGGAUAGUAGAUCAGAGAGGCAGGCCAGUAGAAUAUGGAGUUGUUUUCGUUCUCUUGUUAUUCUUUUCUGGCUAUAAGUAUUUCUGUCUUGGAUUUGUUUGGCCAUUAGGUUUGAAUUGCCUUCUCUUUCUGUCUUCCAUUUGAAUUCCGUGAUUUAUCCUGCUAUUUGGAGAGUAGUUGAUAUGGUCUUUCUUGGGUUUCCUGGUCACCUUCAGGAAACCCAAUAUGUUUCAUGGCCUAUCAAUGAAAGUCGGUAUCAGGCUGGCUCGCUUGGCGGGUCGUCUCCUUAUAUACCUAAAUCCUCGUUUCACUCAUCUGUAAAGGUCUACCCUUCGAAAGGUAGGUUGAGUUCCCCCGUAUGUAGCCAGCCACACUCUACUCGCAGGUAAAAUAUUGGCGUAGACAAUAGAGAAUGUGCUAGGUAGGAAACCGAAGGAACUCUUACUAUACGAGAAUUUGCAAUUCAAUAUGACAACCGAUCAGAAGGGAUUGGACGAUCCCAAUGCGUUGCCCUCCUUCGCAAUACCGGAACUAUCUGACCGAGCUCCAUCAACACAGAAAGCGGAAGGGACAGCAGAUACGGAUAGACUGGAUCCGGAAAGGGAUUUCAGCCAGUCCUUGCCUAUUGCUGGGCUGGUUGUUUUGUCACGGUCCGAUUAGUAGAAGGUGAGUGAGUAAGACGAGGCCCCCGAAGCGUAAUGUAGAGCUAUACUGCUCUUGUUUUUCCUUCCGCCCUGCUUAGGAGAACUUUGUCUAGAACCCACUUUAGCUAGCUUUCAAGGAUACCAUUAUAGAUGAGUGAAGCGAGUAUACCGUUUCCGGAGCUCCCGAGGUAGCGCGGUAGCGGAAGCCCUUUCUAGUUCAAGCAGUUCCAAUUCCUAUUCUGCUUCACCGCUUACACCACACUCUAUUGGUUCGCCUUGUGGUGCCUUUCGAUCAAGGUCUACUUUGGUUGAUCCACUUUCUUCUACAGCGCGUUAUCCGCAUCGAAGUUAGCCAGGUUCCUACCGCUUCUUGAUAUUAUGGAUUUUGCAAUCCCUGAACGCCAGUGCUUCUACAACCAACGGAUACUAUUUAACAUAAAUAAUAAGUAGAAAUGGACAAACGAGUGUGGCUACACAGAGUGAGGAAAAAAACAUGGUGGUACCAGCAUUGCGUAUCACUCACUAUGCUUUAUGUAAUAUGGCUUAAGCAAUGGUAAAAUGGGAGUCCUGAGCAAAGCACAUCUGAUCGAUAUGAAUGAAAGAUACAUCCGUCUUUUCUUCUCCUUCGAAGGUUAGGUAUCCGCUCGUUAGUUCAGCGCCGCAUAAAUACUGACUUUAAAAGGGGCGACUCCCGCCUGUGCUUAAGUUGUUUCAAGCUUGUAAAGACUCGCGAUCGGAAGAUUGACCUGGUUUUCUUUCAGCUGAAACUCUACCUAAUGGUUCAGAUUCCCCGGGUCCAUGGGUCCAUGGCCGCUUAGCUUAGACAGCCUUGUUAGAGACAUGAAUGCGGGGUUCGGUUUCCAAUUGAUUUGUAUUCACCGGGACCUCCCCUUAUUGGAUUUUCUCCACUUUUCUAGUUGCUGUGGAAAGAAUGUUGAGCAAAUGAGUUUAAGGGGUGGUUUUCUAUUUACUUUUUUUCAGCCUACGUCGUCUCUCUUCCAGAACCUCACAAUCAUCAGUGUCUGAAGUUUCAUGAUGAAUAUUGGUUUCACAUUUUAUUGCUUACGUGAGGAAAUAUCAAUUUGGAACUCAAAUUUGUAUUUGAGUUAUGAUGAGGAGUGAGGUAGAUUCGCAUUGUUGAAGAAAGCGAAGAAAAAGGAUGCUGCUAUGGCUUGCUUGUGGCUCUUUCUUCUAUUGGCUAGUCUCAGGCAUGAUAGUUUCCAUUUCUUUUGGAAAGCAAGUGCGGCUCAGUCAUAAGUGUUAGUAAGAGCAUGAAGUAAGUUGUCGGUAGCCGGCAUUAGGUAAAAGGAAAAGCUUCUCAAAAGCAUCCAGAAAUAUCAUAGAAUGGUGAUCGAGAUCACCUUCACGGGAAUCAUCCUUUGCAAAUUGGGGGAAGGGAACCAAUCAAGUCACCAAGAAGUUCCCGAAACUUGGUUUAGUAUUAAGGUUCUUCUCUUCCAGCGUUGGCCUAUCAAUGGCUGCUGCUUAGAUGAGAUGAGGAGUGUGGCUGGCUCCAGAAUCAUCGCUUGGCUGCUGCUUAGAUGAGAUGAAACCUGAGCUGACUUCUCUGUUUUAGUACCGGCCAGGCCUGCUUCUUAAGUGAACUCAUCCAUUCCCUUGUUAGUACAGAAGGAGGCGAUAUCGUGUCAAUUCCCUAAAUAAAACCGUCUUUUCCAAUGAUUUAGGGCCCAUACCCCAAUAAUGAUGACGAAGAGGUCUUCCUGCUUCAAAAACAGGGCUUCCUGACCCGAGAAAAGAGUGCACAUGGAAGUAGUUCCGCUCAAUUCUCCAAUACGACUUCGGGUGUGACCCCAACCCCACCAAAUGGUGAUCCUCGAGACCAAAGGGCAUUGAACGAGAGAGAAGGAAAUCAUCCACAGAGAAUCGGAGUAUCCGGCCUAGUGAUAGUUAGAAAGAGUUGGCCAAUACAGAAUCUCAUGCGCCUCUCAUUGAUGAACCCCUUUUUCCUUUAUCCUCUACUGGUGGCUGAUUGAUUGAGCGCCGGUCUCACUCAUUCUUUAUGAGCGGAAGCCAUGCACCUAUCACCUAUAACCGGAGAAGUACUAUACGGCACGGCACCUUCGGCGAGGACUCAACUCAACAGAGAAUGAUUUGACAAACAUUGAUCCAUGCUUGGCCUUAGCCUGAGCUCAACUCUGAAAAAGAAAAGAGGAGAAUCUCUCUAGCUUGUGGAAUCACUUCCCUGGAUGCUUAGAUAGCUCGAGAAAGUGCGCCACUUCUCCCUUAGAGCCCAUCUAUCUAAACGGGUAUAAAAACAGAGAAAUAGGCUCAUUAAGUGAAGUGAGAACAGAACUCGAUCUUUGCUAGGCGUGAGAAGAAGAUAUCGGUCCUUUGGCCAUCGGGUAAAGAAAUCCUUUGAAUGGAUCAGUGAGUUCCGGCACGAUUGCUGGAACGAACGGAAUCUACGGGAACGAGAUCUUUCUGUUGGCACGAUAUCUUUCAGGAACUGCGGUAAUCCAAUCCUUGAGCUAAGGACGAAUGCUUGAUUUGCAAUCUUUCAAGACGAUUUUCUUGUAGCAGAUGUGGAAUCCAGAUUGGCAUAACGGGUUCUACGUGAAGUCAGCCGUUCGUCAUCAUUUGAGGGUUCGGGUCGGGAUCAUGGCCAUAAAUCGCUACUUUUUCCACUAGAGCGAAUAGCAUUCUUCGAAACAGGCACUGGACACUAGAGCGAAUAGCAUUCUUCGAAACAGGCACGCACAGGACUUGAAGCAGAAUCAGAGAGUGAUCCCUUUCCAACAGACUGAUCGAAUUCCAGUGAUACACUACGCCUGGCACUAUUCGUCACAUUAGUAGUUAAGUUACUCAUUUGUUACGAACAAAGAGAUGCUAGAGAUUCUAUGAACUUCAGAUCGAUGCCAUUCACUAAUCUCAAUUGUCUUUCUAUGGAUUUCUGGGCCGAUGGGCGAUAAACCUUAAAAGUAGCUGCUACGGGCUCUGUGGUGCGUCUCAGAGCCCUUCCCCAUGGGGGGUUCCCGUUCUGCUAAUCUUGCUAUCUUCCCCAGGUUUGCUCGUUUCGAUUGGAACAAGAAGUCCGUAUUGGUAUUUCUUGGUAUUGGUAGCAGAUGUUCAGCGGUAACAAACAGUAGCUGCAAGUAGAUCAUCUCUCUUUCUUUCGUACAAGUAGAUCGUUGGGAUGAGAUCUGUAGUCUAAGAAUCGGUUCAUAGGAAAGCACGCCUUGCAGUUGGCAUCGGUAGAAGAUUUCCGUCUUGUCCCUCGGAGUGGAGCUAGACUCACUUCCUUUGUUCUAGACAUUAUACGUUACUCACUGAGGAAGAAGGGAGUAAAGUAUCUACACUCGUAUCGGAUCUGGAGAUCUGCCCCGGGAUGGAAAGGUAUCGAACGACCAAGAACUUGUCGAAUUUCUUUGACCUCGGAGCCCGUACAAGCUCUUCUUCCACAACCAUAUGUGACCUCCCCGAGUUUCGAACCCCUCGCCCUCUAAAUGUGGAUCUCCUCCUCCUCGUUGUUGCCGUGGAGAGACCUCACGUCUAGUUGAAAUAGAUGCAAGUAAAACUUUCUGACAGCUAUGUGAGCACGGAUCUUUCCAUCAUAAGAAUAGGGCUCUGGCAAUAGAUCAAAAUCACUAGUCCAUUCUGAUUCGGAAGAUAGGGCUGGGCUGGCAGGUUCUAGUUUGUUCGCACAAGAAAGAGAAAGAAGUGCCGGAGGCAGCACUGGACCAAGUAAAGGUGCCGGAUACGUCUCAGCUCAGCUUGAAAGGGAAUGUGUUUCUGGGGAAUCGUACUUUUGAUUCUCAGCUAAAGCCCACCCUUGCCCCCGGAAAGGUUCUCAUUCCUCACUGGAGAACACGGCUCCACAACGUAUUUGGUAGCGGAUCCACUUUUCCUUAUCUGUUAACGUAUACCUUUCCUCUGCCUAUGAGCUAGCUAAAGAUCCAUCGUUAUCCUUUCCGGCAAUGGAGGCGGAAUCAAUGGUCAUGUCAGGUUUCAGAUUCAAAGAGAGAUGUCAAGCAAGCGCCGAAUCUGAGUACUCAACUUGCCCGACCCGCCUCUUCCACUAGACCUCGUCUUUCAAAGAGCAGCAGCCCUGCAAGCCUAAUAGAACCUUGUUUCCCUAUUACUUACUUUUGCUUUGAGCGUCGCACUCCAGUGGCUUUCUUUCCUAUGGCUUGGAUGGGGGUCCUCAACAAGAUCUAUAUCGGUGUCAUUAUUUACUUAUUUAGACGAUAGAUGAUGAUAGAGAGCAGACUGGCUCUGAGGAAGAAUAUCUUAAGUAGUUGAAUCCGCUCCGCUAGGUUAAAUUGUAUGAUCUGAAUGUAGGAGGACUGCUGCCGGUGACACAAUUUCUUUUGGGUCUGAAGAAUGAACUCAGAGCUGCAGUGGAAGUGCAGGUGCCUAACUCAAUUAGUGAAGCUGCAUCUUUUGCUCAAUCAAGUGCGGGAAGGAGUUUUGGAGAGAGGCAGGCACUACAUGAACAAGAAGGACAGUAACUAGAAUUAGAAGUCGGCUGCCCCGCAGCAGCAAGGCUAUGUCUCAGUCAAAGUUCGACAGGGGGCAAAACAGUUGCUGUCCUAAUAGAAGUUCAUGUCGAUCCAGCCAAGCCAGUGCCAUCAUUAGAAAGUCCGGCCAUUUUAGUUUCAGCCAGUUCAAGUUAGGGCAAGGAGGAAAGGAAGAGAGUAAUGCAAGGAUGUAAAGAAUGAGGCGCUAGAACAGACUGGCCCGCAGGCUUCCAACCUGACACCGCUUUGCUACUUUUCGAAAGAGGAAGAGAAGUUGCUUGUACGAGACUGCGCCUCCCGGCUGGAAACUCCAAUGGCAUUUUCGGUAAAUGAAAGCAAAGCGAAGCUUUACGACCAAGGAGAGAUAAGCAUAUUUUAUGAAUGAUAGAAGGAGUGCUCCCCGAGCACAGGCUCGCUUGGAAGGAUAGAGCGCCGCAAGACAAGAUGGCAUAUUGAAGGAUUGAUUGGUUUAGUACCGGCCAGGCCUGCUUCUUAAGUGAAGGUCUACUUGGCGGGUCGCUAUGUUUCAUAGCAAGAAAGAUUCCACUGCCAACACAAAUCGUUCAGACUCUGAAGCAGUUGAAGUAAUCACUUUUUAGAUCCAACCAUUGCUAGUUUAUCUGGAAACAUACCUCUAAAAAAAACUUUAGCUGGAAACAAAUGGACAGGAAACAUACCCCAAAUGUCCACGGGUGUCAAAGGUCUCUGGCUGGGGCGAGCUACUAUGCAAGUACUCAAAGGCAAUCAGGGAACGAUAUAUCGGUUGAUUGGGAAGAGGUACUACGAGAGAGAGAAGGUGAGGUGCAAGUGCAAUUGACUCAGUCGCGAGAACGCCAGUGGCGUGUCGUUGGAAUGACAAUAAGCACCACGGGAAGUGGUCUUCGCCGACCGGCCAGAAUUAAUUGGUGCGAAAAGUCCGUGGAGGAGGGUGCGGGCGGUCGAUCGGAGGUGGAGACCUACCAUGGUGGUGGUGGCGCCGGUGUGGACGAGGCAGCUCGCGACAUGCAUGGACUAGAGAGUACAGGGCCAAUCUUCCUCGCAUCUUCGUACGUCCACGCCCUCCCUCAGGUCACUAGCGUCGACUCAGUCCCUUCCUUCAACCAACUGCUACAGAAUAUCAUCCACACACACACACACACGGCCGAAAUGUUUGUGGUGGAGACGAUCGAACAAGCUGAUAUCAACGGACCACAAGCUAGAGUCGUGGACUGUGGUGGUUACGACUCAUUGUCUCUUUAUUUAUUACCACUUAUACAUGGAUUUAGUUGAUACUCCCGUAAACUAAUAUAUAAGGGCAUCUUUAACCGAUCUCCUAAAACAUAGUGGAGUAAAAGGCUUUGUGGAGUAUAUAUACUCCACUCCACUAUGUUUUGGCCAGACCUAGCCGUAAUGAAGUAAAUUUUUGUUUUUCUAAACUUUGCAAUUUUAGUAUAAAUUGCAACUACAUAUUACCACACAUAUAGAAACUAAACAUAAAUUUAAAUGCUCAACCAAGUUACAAAUAUAGUUUACAAACCGAAUUAUUCAAAUUUAAACACGUCGAAUGGUUCAAAUGUAGCAAAUAGCAUUUCAUAGAACAACUAGGACUCACUUAGACGUUGCCAAUGAUGCUCGACAAGAUCUUGUUGGAGCUGAGUAUGAACUUGACGGUUCUCGAUCUUCCGAUGAUGGUCAAGAAAUGACACUAUCCUGUUCGCAUCAUACUCUGGCUCAACCGGAGUCCCAUUGAUGAUCUACCGAAAGUUAUCAGGCAUAUCUCUCUCGUCUUCAAUGAUCAUGUCAUGCAAUGCAAUAUGAUGCAACAAGUCAUGAUUCGCCAUAGAACCUUGGAGUUCCAGUACUCGGUAGGGUCACGAACAAUUGCAAAGUGCUUCUGAAGCACACCGAAGGCUCUCUCCAAAUUUUUCCUUGCAACUUCUUGACAUUGGGCAAAGUGAGUGUUUUUAUUACCUUUUGGACGCGGAAUUAUUUUAACUAAGGUGGCCCAUGAUGGGUAGAUGCCAUCCGCAAGGUAGUAGCCCAUCAAGUAGUUGCAAGCGGGAGUUUCACCUUCUAUAAGCCUAGAAAACAGAGGUGGUCGCGAUAGCACAUUCAAGUCAUUGUGCGAGCCAGGCAGACAAAAGAAUGAAUGUCAUAUCCAAAGAUCCUUCGAUGCAACUGCCUCAAGAAUGAUCGUUGGAUCGUUGCAGUGGCCUUUGUACUAACCCUUCCGUCGUGCAGGCCAAUUCUUCCAUGUCCAGUGCAUACAGUCAAGUGAUCCAAGCAUCCCUGGCCAUGCUCUUGCUUCACUCUCAGUGAUGUGGGCAUAGAUACGUCUACAAAUAUUAAACGACACAAUUUUCAGGUAAUUUAUAUUGAUCAUUAUAUGAUAUUAUAUUUUAUUACCAGGGACAAAAAUACUACACCAACUUAUCUCUUGCGUAGGAUUGUUGAAGGCAUUUGCAAAAUAAGUACCAAGAUGAGAGAUUAUGCACUUGAAGUUUACACGGGCCAUACAAAUGCACCCAUGCACAUGCAGCCGAGCCAAGGAAGUGCUCCUGUACAUGCAUGCGUGAGGAAGGUGCAAGGAGGAGCCAUCCUUGCAUGCUACAAUGCCCAUGUACAUCACGUUGGAGCCACACAUCUUGUCAACCGAAGGAAACAUCAAUUCCGGCUGAGGCGUGCAGAAGUUGGACUCCGUACGUCCUCCGUUCCGUAAACCAAGACACAAGGCGGCCGCUCCUCUUAAUAAAUAGUUAGUUAAAAUUAGGGUUUAGACUCGGAUUUUGUUUAGAGAAGUUUAGCUAUUGCUACUUUUAUUUGUCUUCGCUCGUAGCGGCUAGUGCGACCGUCAAGACAUCUUAUCGGAACCCUAAUUUGUGAGAUUUAUUCAUCUAGCAUAUCUGCAAUUUUUAGAUUGCUUGGCUAAUAUUUUCUUGCAUGUUCUUCGAUUUGCUUGCAGGAAAAAUCCUCCGUGGAUAGGUCGAUCGCGCCGUUGGCUCGGUCGAUAACACGUGGAGUUGGUUCAGCGAUUGCCGUGGAUAUCAGUCGUGUACGGUUCUUCCUGUACGGUUGGUAGCCGGAUCGUGAGGGUCAAGUCCCACCCAAAAUCGUAGUUAUCUCCCUCUCAUCGAAAGAUCGGGCCCCAGUUCACAUCAAGUGGUAUCAGAGCUGCCGUACAAAAUUGUUCCGGUGCUACCGCGCGCACGUCCCAGCUUCCAGCCGCUAGCGAGGGAGCAUCCCAAUUACAUCAGGUCAACCAUCAGCACGUGAUUACUUUUACCUCUAGUAGCACACAAGUUCUAACAGGUGUCCUCACGUUUUUUUGUGCCAGGCUCAUCUUUCGUAUACGUGAGUUCUUGCUUGUUACCGGCUUGAUCAAAAGAAAAAAAACAAAGACGAAAAAGAGCAAAAAAAGAGAGAAAAGAAAAGAACGAAAAGAAAAGAAAAGAGAAAAAAAGUGCAUAGUUCAGGCCGGCAAGCAUAUGAUUUAAGCCGUUUUGUUCGGUUUGUUUUUCAGGACAAAGACUUCUGUACCUACGUGAUCACCACUCCAUAUAUCAUCUAUUUUUUAGCUUUGUUAUACACUGCGUUUAUACUUCACUUAUAUCUAGCUAUUUGGAGCUAUCAUAUUUUCAUCGAUUUUCACUCCCCUCAUUCAGUAUCUGGGCUUAGGUUAUUUUAUCUCUAACUAGUCGACUGCCAGCACUAGUUAGGAGUUUGAGCAAUUAUUCAACUUGCAUUGCUUUUUGCUAAAUUGUGCCACUAAUAUUGUGAGUUGAGAAGCCACUGCCAAGCUACACUUUUUACUACCAAUAAGUACAGGUCCCGGCUCUAUUGAUUCCUGGUUAUCGCUCCAUCCAAUCUUCAUCGGUAGUUUGAAGCCAACACCAACGCGCCGAUCACCACCUGUUGCAUUGGUAAAAACAAGUAAGAAUUUGAUACUAAGCUUGAGUGUGAGCGAUUUUUCUCCACGACGUCCUACUAGUUGAUAGGGAUUAUACACUGUGUGUUUUUUCCUUUCGCUAACAAUGGCACAUGAUCAACCCAUACUUGAGGGCCUCACCGCGGAUGUGAAAGUCACCAGCGAGCGUCUCACCCAACUUGAGGGUGCUCAAAUUGCGGCCGAAGAGAGGCUCAAGGCCAUCGAGGAUGCACAGGGUGUUGCCAACACACAUCUACAGGACAUCUUGUCACGUCUGGAUGAGUUGCAGGCUUCACCCCACGUCAACACCAACGUUGAUCCUCGCAACUCCGCGGGUGUUGCCGCUAUUUCGCGAGCUCGGCGUGUGCCCAUGGGUCAUCCACAACACCCAGCUACUGCCACUGAUGCCGCCACCAUAAACCAGCACCAACAAAUUCCUCCCCGCGUCGAGCAACAUGGGGACAACUACGAGGAUUAUUCGGGUGACACCGAAGACGACCAAAUGGUCAACCACCACAAUGACCGUGCUCACCGACAACUACGUUUCAACCGUCACGGUAUGGCAUGAGGUCAACCCAGGUAUGAUGUUAGAGAUUAUGAACACUCUAGUGCCAAAAUCAAAUUUACUAUGCCUACUUUCAAUGGUCAAUAUAAUCCAGAUGUUUAUCUUGACUGGGAACUUUCUGUUGAACAAAAAUUUGCAUGUCAUGAUAUUCCUGAGAACCAAAGAGUUAGGGCAGCCACUAGUAAAUUUACAAACUUUGCUUCCAUGUGGUGGAGUGAAUAUUGUCGCAUUAAUGCAAAUAAUAUACCUUCUACUUGGGAUGCUUUAAAACGAGCUACGCGACAACGUUAUGUUCCUUGAUAUUAUGCUCGUGACAAACUGAAUGAAUUGCAACGUUUAAAACAAGGUAGUAGUUCUGUAGAGGAUUAUUAUCAAGAAUUACAAACUGGCUUAGUGUGAUGUGGAUUAGUUGAAACCGACGAUGCUAUGAUGGCUAGAUUUUUAGGUGGUUUGAAUUGUGAUAUUCAGGAUAUCUUGGACUAUAAGGAGUACAACUCUAUUACUCGUUUGUUUCAUUUUGCUUGUAAAGCUGAAAGGGAAGUACAGGGACGACACAACAAGGGACGAGGUAACUUUUCUGCAGGUCGCCGCUCAUCAUGGACACCCUCUCCUACUGUUCCAUCCACUACUGAGUCUACACCACCUAUCUUGAACAAUGGUGCACACCCAUCAAGUUCAAAAUCAGCUCCACAAUCAUCCGAGGCUUCGAAAGCAAUGUCUAUAGCACCCACCACUUCAUUUGGACGCACAAGGGACAUGAAGUGUCAUAUAUGCAAAGGUGGCGGGCACUUGAUGAAGGAUUGCCCAAAUAAACGAACAUUCAUUGUGCGGGAAGAUGGUGAGUACUCCUCUGCUAGUGAUUUGGAUGAAGAUACUCGUGCUAUGCUUGCCACUAAUAAUGCAGGUGAUGACACGGAGGAGAUACAUAUUAAUGCUGAUAUGGCAGAUAAAUACCCAAGCCUUGUAACCAUGCGAGUACUUAGUGCCCAGAUGGGGGAUACUGAGAUGCCUUAACGCCAUAAUCUUUUUCAAACUAAGUUUGUUGUCAAAGGGCAUUCUAUUCGUGUGAUCAUUGAUGGUGGAAGCUGCAAUAAUUUGGCAAGUAUUGAGAUGGUAGAGAAGCUUUGCCUCACCACUACAAGACACCCCCAUCCAUAUUACAUCCAAUGGUUCAACGACUGUGGUAAGUUGAAGGUAACACGUCGUGUGAGGGUUCAUUUUACACUUGGUUCAUAUCAUGAUUAUGUUGACUACGAUGUUGUACCUAUGCAAGCAUGUUCUUUAUUGUUAGGUCGACCUUGGCAAUAUGAUAAUAGUGUUAUCCAUCAAGGUAGAACAAAUCCAUAUACUCUCGUGUUUGAAGGAAAAACCAUUAACUUGCUUCCAAUGACCCCCGAUGAAAUAAUAAAUGAUGGGAAAGCUAAAUCAACGGAUCAUGCUAUGCAUACUAUGCUUGCGAUCAAUUCUGAAAUUUUUCGUUGAGUGUCUCAACUUUUGAACUAGACAUACCACAUGCUCAGGUAGUUCAUUUGUGUCCCCAUAAUUCAUACAUGGACUCUGUGUGGGAUAAAACUUUUCAUGAUAUUCCUAAUGGUGUUGUUACAAAUUUAUUUCACCCUCAUGACCUAACACCAUCGGAACGGCCUAUAUAUGUUGCAUCUAUUUUUGCGUUGCUCUAUGAUGUGUUUCAGAUAAAUAAAAGCCGAGGACGUCUUUAUUUUCAAGAAAGGGAGGAUGAUGUGGGCAUAGAUACAUCUACAAAUAUUAAACGACACAAUUUUCAGGUAAUUUAUAUUGAUCAUUAUAUGAUAUUAUAUUUUAUUACCAGGGACAAAAAUACUAGACCAAUUUAUUUCUUGCGUAGGAUUGUUGAAGGCAUUUGCAAAAUAAGUAUCAAGAUGAGAGAUUAUGCACUUGAAGUUUACACGGGCCAUACAAAUGCACCCAUGCACAUGCAGCCGAGCCAAGGAAGUGCUCCUGUACAUGCAUGCGUGAGGAAGGUGCAAGGAGGAGCCAGCCUUGCAUGCUACGAUGCCCAUGUACAUCACGUUGGGGCCACACAUCUUGUCAACCGAAGGAAACAUCAAUUCCGGCUGAGGCGUGCAGAAGUUGGACUCCGUACGUCCUCCGUUCCGUAAACCAAGACACAAGGCGGCCGCUCCUCUUAAUAAAUAGCUAGUUAAAAUUAGGGUUUAGACUCGGGUUUUGUAUAGAGAAGUUUAGCUAUUGCUACUUUUAUUUGUCUUCGCUUGUAGCGGCUAGUGCGACCGUCAAAACAUCCUAUCGGAAUCCCAAUUUGUGAGAUUUAUUCAUCAAGCAUAUCCGCAAUUUUUAGAUUGCUUGGCUAUUAUUUUCUUGCAUGUUCUUCGAUUUGCUUGCAGGAAAAAUCCUUCGUGGAUAGGUCGAUCGCGCCGUUGGCUCGGUCGAUAACACGUGGAGUUGGUUCAGCGAUUGCCGUGGAUAUCAGUCGUGUACGGUUCUUCCUGUACGGUUGGUAGCCGGAUCGUGAGGGUCAAGUCCCACCCAAAAUCGUAGUUAUCUCCCUCUCAUCGAAAGAUCGGGCCCCAGUUCACAUCACUCAGUCAUCAGCCUCUAGGUGUCAUUCUCCAUUGGUGCUCUCAAGUACUCCGGGCCAAAGAUAGCGAUCACUCCUUGGUGAACCUUAGAACAGCCUCCAAGAUUGUGUCCUCGCUAAUGCGUACAUAGUCAUCAAUUGCAUCGGUAGAAUGCCCAUAUGCCAAGACACGAAUAGCCGCAAAUAAUGCAUUUCAUCAGAGGGCUUGCACUGAUAUCUCCACAUGCAUUUCUCCAGAGCUUGAACCAGCAUCAUAUCUCUCAAUGGCUUUUGCAAUGGUUAGAAAAAGAUUUGUGUGCAUCCGAAUGCGUCGACGAAAAUACUUCUCCGGAUAGAUUGGGUUUGGAUCAAAGUAAUCUCUCAUGAUCUUGGCAUGGACCUCCGCUCUCUCACGGUUGAUGUAUAUGCGGUCAAAUUGUGAUCCUCUCCUCGGCCGCAGAACAUCAUCAUUGAAAAUCAUGCCUAAAACGGUGUCAAAGUCAUCAUCGUCUUCUUCCUCUUCGGAUGAAAACGAGUCCUCCAACGCUAUCUCCCUCAACCUCUUCAUCUGCAAUCCAAGCGGUUAGGUUCAAUCCACAUUGCUCGGUUCAAAGAGAAACAAUAAAAAAACUCACCUAGGCAAUUCUUCAAAUACUUGGGAUGCGGUGGUGGUGCACAAGCCGGUCAACGUGGUUUAGGCCGAACCGGCGAGCGGCGGGUAGCCUGCAGCGGUGCACUAGCAAGGUGAGAUGCGGCGGCCGCUGAAAAAGGAGAAACUCGAAAGAAAUAGGACGAAUCGAUAAUGCUGACGGCGGCGGCGUUUCACCUUGAUUCAGGUGACGACGACGGGGGCCGAACGGCCUGGCCGAUGGGCAGAAUGGUGGCGGAGGGCAAGGGAUGGAACGAGGUAGCGGCGGGGCUGACGGGAAAGAGAGGGCGCAGCGUUUGACUCGUUCGCCAACCGAUCGAGUAAAAAUAGGGAAACUUUUAAGACCGGAGUAAAAAUAUACUCCACUAACGGCGGAUUGGGGAUCGGCUAGGUGCCGGUUAGCGGAGUAAAAUCGAAUCAAAAUUUUACUCCACUAACCAGUUUUAGGGGGUGGAUUAGAAAUGCCCAAAGAGUGUUCUCCGUAAACUUACGAAGGGAGUACUUUUUUGCAGAUAUCUAUGGGCAAUCCGAGCUAAUGAUCGUUCACGUUGGGUGGCAAAUCCAAGUGAACAAAAUCGUUCGGUUGAAAACCCUUCCCGACGUGACGAGCCAUGAUCAACUUAGACUCGGCCCCACCUGGUGCCCCCUACCCCUCCUAGUGAACAAAAUCGUUCGCUUGAAAACCCUUCCCCGUCUGAUGAGCCAUGAUCAACUCAAACUCGGCCCCACCUGGUGCCCUUCCACCUCCAAGUGAAUAAAAUCGUUCGUUUGAAAACCCUUCCCCACGUGACGAACCAUGAUCAACUCAGACUCGGCCCCACCUAGUAACCCCCCUCCCCCCGCCCCCCAAAAAAAAUCCGCCCCUCACCCCGCUCCCUCACCAGCUUCUUGCUGCUUGCUAGGAACGACAAACCCUCUCUCCAUUCUUCAUUUUGUCCCGGUCUACUAAAAAGAACCAGAGGGAGUAUACGACAAUUCAGCUACUGCCGCAAAACCAAAUGCAUCGCUAGCGCAGCCCCAACCGCCGCACGAACACUUCAGCCGCGUGCAACAGCCCCUUCCACCAACCAUCAACGGCGCGAUUUCGGUCGUGAAUGCAACCGUCGAUGGUCUAUCAACCACCGUCCAAUCCGCCCAGCCCCGCCGCUCAACAUCACGCCCGAUUGCCGCCAAGUCAACUCCGCCCCAUCGAUUCGGGAUCCGGCAACAUGUCGAUUUUGAUAGAUUUUCGGCCAACCGUCGGCCCUUCGCUGGCCAUAAUGGCGGCACAACUCAUCCACGUACGACCCGUAGAGGUGGACUAGUGGCCGCCGAAGCGCCAUCGCAAGCUGCUGCCACAGUUUUGAAUGGGCGACUGCCCGUUCGGAUGGCGUCAAAGGUGUGGCAUCGCUGGCUUGCCGCCGCUCGCCCCCCGGGCAUCAAGGAGGCCACUUCUACACUUUUGCGGCCCAAAGCGCUACCCUCUCGGCUCCAAAGAGCAGCUGGCCGCCUUCAUCCUCCUCACAUGCAAGGUUUUCGAUGAAAUUUCUACAAGGUAAAAAAAAUUCCUUCUCGUUUUUGUUUUACUAUUGCUUUUGGAAGUAGUUUGACAAAGAUUGUUGUAUUGUAGAUGAGUUCAUGUGACUUCAAUCAUUGGGAUGAUUCCUUGUCAGACAAGGAAUAUGACAUGGUUGAGGGGGAAAAUAUUUCUUUCAAUUCUCUUUUUCCUUUUUUUAUUUUCUUUUUUGUUUGUGUCCAUCCUGGAUGUUUUUAGGCGUCUUAUUUGUGCAGAGGCCGGGUGUAAUUGAUAUCUACUUGAUAUUAAUAUUCCCCUUUUCAAAAUAAAUGAUUGUUAAAAAAAAGAUGUGGUGUGGCUGCCAUGUGGCUGCCCUAUUUUAGGGCAACUCUUGGAAUACAGUGCCCUAGUUUAGGCCUGUAGUUAGAGAUGAGCACCUUUUGGUGCCCUAAAAAUCUCUUUUUCGUGCAUCAAAUUUUACUUGAAGGUGUUUUUCAUUCCCCUAUAAAGUUCCUUCAUUUUCACGGCGUCAAUGACUUGAUGGCAUAUUUUUCCUUUCGGUCGUUUGGACCGGAGGAUGUGGCCUAUAGGGUUUGUCGGCGCGGCAUCGACGAUAUCCCUUUGCAGUUUGGUCCUCCGGCCUCGUCUCCAUCACAUUGGUGCCACCUCCACGACUCUUCCAACAGCGACAGUUUCUUCUCCAGUGCGCUGGUUUGGCAUGAUCGUGGCUUGAUGACUUAUUUUCUGUGUUCAACAACGAUAGGAUAGUUUCCGUGAUGGAGUGGCUAGCGCGACACGCCACCGGCCGUUGGGAUGGGGAUGGUCACCCCAGGGACUUUGAUGUGACUUUUUUCAGGGUAUUUGUAUUGCUGCUUUGGUUAAUACGUAUAUCUUAAGGUUUUCCUGGAAAAAAACAGGAGCAGGCGCAGUGGCCUAGGUCAACUCCGGAUUGCUUAAUCCUCCUGAUCUGUACAUUAAUGAAGGCCAUGUAAAAUUUGUCCUGAACCAAGGGCCUGUUAUAUGACACUCGAUGCGAUCAAUAUGAUGGUGCCGCCCGCUACGCUGUCAGUUGGGCCGACCGAAGUUUAUCUAGUGGUUAAAAAAGCGGUCAACACAUUUCCGAACUGACUUGAUCAGCAUGGAAGCGUUUUCUUCCUUUUUUGAGCAAAUUCUUUCGUGUGUUUUUCACGCAUUUCAUUAAAAAAAUUACAUGUGUGGAUAAACGUUCGUGUGCAAUUUUAAAAAUGUUCCAGUCUAAUUUAGAAAAUGAUUUUGAGUAAAAAUGUUCAGUAAAUUAUAAAUUUACUCAGCCCUUUAAAAAGUUCAUGCAUGUUUAAAUUGUAUCAACAAAUUUUUGAAAAUAAUCAUGUUACUUUAAAAGUUUUCAGUGUUAAUUUUAUUUCAAGUAAUAAAAAUUUUUAUUUACACCUCCAAGAAAAUCUUCAUGUAAUUUUAAAAAGUGUUCACGCAAUAAAAGAAGUGUCUGUGUAAUUUUACAAUUGUCUGUGAACUUUUAAUAAGAAAUUUCAUGUAAUUUAUAAAGAUAUUUUCGCCUUGAAGAAAAUGUCAAUUUUUUAAAAGUGUUCACAUAUUAAAAUAAGUGUCCGUGUAAUUUUACAAAUGUUUGUGAACUUUCAAAAAAGACUUCACUUAUUUGAAUAACAAAUUCGAGUGAUUGAAAUUGUCCAGCUAUUAUAAAAAUAUCUGUGUAGAUUUAGAAAGUUUGCGACUUUUAAAUAAUGUUCAUAUAAAUAUAAACCUUUUUUGUCCUUUUGGGCUACAACGGAUCAUUUGCCUGUAGUUGCAUAGUUGGGCUACGCACCCACCGUUAGUCUGCGUUUGACCACUUCUCCCGUAUUACACUUUUCUUAAAAACAAAACGUAUCCCAUAUUACACUGAGUUUUCUUUUUGAUAAUUUUCCCUAUUUCUUAUGUAAUAAAGUAUUUCUUAAUCAUUUCAGAUAAAAUUUUACAAAAAUACCCUUGUAGCAAACUGGCAAUUUCUCUCAAGUCUACUAUGUAGUCUGUAGUAUGUACCUGGCUCAAUCGAAGCCAAAAUUUAUCCUCUGUUCUUUAUGUUCGCCUUACAAAUAUGUUGCUGGUUUUUGGUACGAACAAUCCGUUUGAAUGGACACCAGCAAAAUUCUCCUAUGUGCUUAUUAAGUACACAUGUGUAGGACUUAAAGUGGUUCGCUGAUCGAUCCAAUUAAUUCCCCUUCCAUCAUCGAUUGUCAUUAAAUUCUUGAAGCCUCAUCCUUGAUGAUCCUAAGGGACUCGGUGAAGUCAUCCAAAAGUUGACCAUGAUCUGGAAAGUGUGCCUCAUCAACAGCUAGAAUUACCUUGAUGGUGUUACUGUAACUCUGGUAGUGCACCGUCAGAGCCUAUGCACACAGGAAGCAUUAAUCUCCAUUAGGUACCAAAGGGAGUACACAAAAGUAAAUUCUACUACUAUAGUACUUCUCUUUUCUUUCUGAGAGCGACUUAAGAGUAGACUUUGUAAUGUGAGAUUAUGGCUGGACUGCGACUACUUACUUCUGGCGGACCGUAGACGCUAGGCGCAAUGGAGACAACUGGGUGCCCAUAGAACUCUACCUGCUUUGCUGGCCCAAUCAUGUUCGAAAAUGAUAUGGUCGUGUGUGAUAUCAUACGGUGGAAAAUAACACCUGCAGCCUACUUGGAUUGACAACCAUGGAACUGAAUUGGAUUAAUAAUUGUUAAUAUGUUUGAUUAGAAAAUCACAUUAAUUAGUUAGUUUGUUAAUUAGAUGCUUGCUCUCCUUUUUGAAAAACAUAUUCUACAGACAACCGUAUACAAGUACAAACACUAGUAGAAAAAACCCCAUCUGUCCCGGUUGAUAAGGGCCUUUUGUCCCGGUUCUGGAAUCGGGACUAAUGGGUCGGUACUAAUGCCCUAGAUCUUUAGUCCCGGUUCUAACACGAACCGGGACAUAUGGUCCUCCACGUGGCCGGUGAGCCGAGCCCAGGCAGGGGGGCCUUUGGUCCCGGUUGGCGGCACCAAAAGGCAUCCACGCGUCAGCAUUCCAGUGGCUGGAGUUUUUGUUUNNNNNNNNNNNNNNNNNNNNNNNNNNNNNNNNNNNNNNNNNNNNNNNNNNNNNNNNNNNNNNNNNNNNNNNNNNNNNNNNNNNNNNNNNNNNNNNNNNNNNNNNNNNNNNNNNNNNNNNNNNNNNNNNNNNNNNNNNNNNNNNNNNNNNNNNNNNNNNNNNNNNNNNNNNNNNNNNNNNNNNNNNNNNNNNNNNNNNNNNNNNNNNNNNNNNNNNNNNNNNNNNNNNNNNNNNNNNNNNNNNNNNNNNNNNNNNNNNNNNNNNNNNNNNNNNNNNNNNNNNNNNNNNNNNNNNNNNNNNNNNNNNNNNNNNNNNNNNNNNNNNUUAAUAGAGAGAAGUGUCCUCUCUUAUGUCCGUGCUUGGUCGACGCUACGUACUAUACAUAGAGAGGCCCUCGACACGCUAGCUAGUAAGAAAAUGAAGGGAACCAUUAAGUACAGAAGUUCGUCAUGCAUACCGAGAGAAGUGAUCGAUCGACCUCUCCUUCUCCGAGAGAUUGGUCGAACAACAAGUUUUCGUAUUAUCUAUCCGACGCUACUGGCUACAUACAUAUAUAUACAAUAUGUAAGAUCUCUUAAUUACAAUCCCCUAGCUAGCAUUUGAAAUCAACUUCCGCAUGGUAUUCUCCGGCUUUAUUGAUGACGUGGUCAAGAAAGAAUCCCGCUAAUUCCUCUUGAAUUACUUUGAUGCGAUCUUGUGGUAGGAGUUCAUCCCGCAUCUGCCACGUCUAAUUUGAAGAAGGGGGUUAAUACAUAUAUAUGAAUGAAACUCAACAGAAAUGAUGAUGUAAUAAAAUGAAAUUGUGAAUAUUAUUGCUUAUGCACUUCAUACUGUCUUUUAGAGUAGCCCCGCUUAUUUUUUAAAGUGGCGUUGUAGAUGAACUCGCACACGUAGUAUCCACAGUAAUUAUUUCCUUGUUUCUGCCACAAGCACUUUACGAGAAAUAGAGGUCAAUCAAACUGCUAAUAAAGCAUUAUAAAUGGCAUUGAUGAAAGUAUAGCUAUAGAAUCAACGGAAGAUGCGCGCAAAUAGCUAGCUAGUAGUACUUACUUUCGGGUAUGUAAAUCGCAGCUCCUUCGGUAGUCCUGGAGCUUGUGCGGUGAACUGUUUCCAAACCCUGCAAGACAAAGAAAAUAAUUAUAAUGCGCGCAACUAGCUAGCUAGAUUUCCUUCUCUUCUUUAGUAAGAGCGUAGCCGGCAGGACCUUCAUACUGCUUUGGAGGCAUGCCGUCUUUUUCGUGCAAACGUUGCAGGUCCUCCCGUGCCUCAGCUGUAUCUUUUGUCUUCCCAUACACGCCCAAGAAGCCUAGCAGGUUCAGCAAAGGUUCUUCGUCACGUGCAUCACGUCGAUCGAAGAGCGGACCUCUAGGUCUUUCCAGUAGGGUAGGUCCCAAAAUAUAGAUUUCUUCUUCCACAUGGGCGCGUGUCCCCCAGCGUCACUCGGAACAGCUAGUCCGCCGGGAUCCUUUCCAAAGAUUACGUGUAAAUCAUUGACCAUAGCAAGUACGUGAUCACCGGUACGCAUGGCGGGCUUCUACCGGUGAUCUGCCUCGCCUUUGAAAUGCUUGUCUUUCUUUCGACAUUGAUGGUUGGUCGAAAUAAAUCGACGAUGGCCCAGGUACACAUUCUUCCUGCAGCUUCCCAGGUAUAUACUAUCGGUGUCAAGUAAACAAUGCGUGCAUGCGUGGUAUCCCUUAUUUGUCUGUCCUGAAAGAUUACUGAGAGCGGGCCAAUCGUUGAUGGUCACGAACAGCAACGCCUUUAGGUCAAAUUCUUCCUGUUUGUGCUCAUCCCACGUACGUACACCGUUUCCAUUCCACAGCUGUAAAAGUUCUUCAACUAAUGGCCUUAGGUACAUAUCAAUGUCGUUGCCGGGUUGCUUAGGGCCUUGGAUGAGAACUGGCAUCAUAAUGAACUUCCGCUUCAUGCACAUCCAAGGAGGAAGGUUAUACAUACAUAGAGUCACGGGUCAGGUGCUUUGAUUGCUGCUCUGCUCCCCGAAAGGAUUAAUGCCAUCCGCGCUUAAAGCAAACCAUACGUUCCUUGGGUCACUUGCAAACUCAUCCCAGUACUUUCUCUCGACUUUUCUCCACUGCGACCCGUCAGCGGGUGCUCUCAACUUCUCGUCUUUCUUACGGCCCUCACUGUGCCAUCGCAUCAACUUGGCAUGCUCUCCGUUUCUGAACAGACGUUUCAAACGUGGUAUUAUAGGUUCAUACCACAUCACCUUCGCAGGAACCCUCUUCCUAGGGGCUCGCCGUCAACAUCACCAGGGUCAUCUCGUCUGAUCUUAUACCGUAAUGCACCGCAUACCGGGCAUGCGUUCUGAUCCUUGUACGCACCGCGGUAGAGGAUGCAGUCUUUAGGGCAUGCGUGUAUCUUCUGCACCUCCAAUCCUAGAGGGCACACGACCUUCUUUGCUGCGUAUGUACUGUCGGGCAAUUCGUUAUCCUUUGGAAGCUUUUUCUUCAAUAUUUUCAGUAGCUUCUUAAAUCCUUUGUCAGGCACAGCAUUCUCUGCCUUCCACUGCAGCAAUUCCAGUACGGUACCGAGCUUUGUGUUGCCAUCUUCGCAAUUGGGGUAUAACCCUUUUUUGUGGUCCUCUAACAUGCGAUCGAACUUCAGCUUCUCCUUUUGACUUUCGCAUUGCGUCUUUGCAUCGACAAUGACCCGGCGGAGAUCAUCAUCAUCGGGCACAUCGUCUGGUUCCUCUUGAUCUUCAGCAGCUUCGCCCGUUGCAGCAUCAUCGUGCACAUCGUUUGGUUCCUCUUGAUGUUCAGUAGCAUCACUGUAUUCAGGGGGCACAUAGUUGUCAUCGUACUCUUUUUCUUCGCCGUCUUCCAUCAUAACCCCUAUUUCUCCGUGCCUCGUCCAAACAUUAUAGUGUGGCAUGAAACCCUUGUAAAGCAGGUGGGUGUGAAGGAUUUUCCGGUCAGAGUAAGACUUCGUAUUCCCACAUAUAGGGCAUGGACAACACAUAAAACCAUUCUGCUUGUUUGCCUCAGCCACUUCGAGAAAAUCAUGCACGCCCUUAAUGUACUCGGAGGUGUGUCUUGAACCGUACAUCCAUUGCCGGUUCAUCUGCGUGCAUUAUAUAUAAUUAAUAGAAGUUCAUCAUCACAUUAAAACCAAAGUACAUACAUAGUUCUCAUCUAAUAACAUAAAGCUCUGCAGAGCAUCUAAAUUAAUUAAACCAUACAUUAAAACUAUGUAAAACAUUUCAAUGCGAAAACAAAUGCGACCAUAAUCGCAACCAAUGUAACAACGGAUCCAACGGCAUAAUGAUAUCAAGCCUCGGUAUGAAUGGCAUAUUUUCUAAUCUUUCUAAUCUUCAAGCGCAUUGCAUCCAUCUUGAUCUUGUGAUCAUCGACGACAUCCGCAAUAUGCAACUCCAAUAUCAUCUUCUCUUCCUCAAUUUUUUUUAUUUUUUCCUUCAAGAAAUUGUUUUCUUCUUCAACUAAAUUUAACCUCUCGACAAUAGGGUCGGUUGGAAUUUCUGGUUCAACAACCUCCUAGAUAAAUAAAAUCUAUGUCACGUUGGUCGGCAUAAUUGUCAUGAACAAUAAAUGAACCAUCAGUGAUGAAAAGAUAAUAUAUACCACAUCCGAAUCAUAGACAGGACGAGGGUCGACGGGGGCGGAUACCAGAACCAUCGCACUAUAUAAGAUGCAAUAAUAAAAGUAAGAAAAUUAUACAAGUAUCUAUAUAAACAUACAAGUAAGAAUUUUUUUCCUUUCAGAAAGAAGAUAAGAACAAGAGGCUCACCACGGUGGUGCCGGCGACGAGAUCGGCGCGGGCGAUCGACGGCGGUGAAGACGGGGACGGGACGUGACGGACCGCUAAACCUAGACAAAUAUUGAGGAAAAUAGAGCUUGAAGGUCGAGCUUGGAGAGGAGAAAGCUUAAGUAGUGUGGCUCGGGCAUUCCAUCGAACACCUCGUGUGCAUAGGAGGUGAGCUAGAGCACCACAAAGCUCUCUCCUCGCCGGCCAGGAAAAACAGAGCAGUGGGAGUGCUCUGCUCGCGGGCGAGGGGUAUAUAUAGGCAUUUAAUUGGUCCCGGUUCGUGGCCCGAACCGGGACUAAAGUGCAGACUUUGGUCCCGGUUCAGGCCACCAACCGGGACCAAUGGUGGUGGGCCAGGAGCGAGGCACGUUGGUCCCGGUUCGACCCACCAACCGGGACCAAAAAGUCCAGACGAACCGGGACCAAUGGCCCACGUGGCCCGGCCGGCCCCCGGGGCUCACGAACCGGGUCCAAUGCCUCCAUGGGUCCCAGUUCUGAAUUGAACCGGGACUAAUGAGCUGACCUGGCCUGAAUCAUUGCCCCCUUUUGUACUAGUGAAACUAAAGGACCAGCAAAUCGUUAUACCUUCACACCAAGAGUUUUGAUUAUAACUUCGGCAAGCAUAUGCGUAAACAUCACUUCCAGUGAGCUUUUCUUCCUAUCAGCAAUCUUUUUGGCCUUGUGAAUAUAUUCAAGUGGAUCUUUGUGCACAACAAUCUGAAAUGGUAGGAUUAUGUAGCCAAGUUGAUUUCUCCGUGUCACAUCGUUGCUCUUACCAGACUCCAUCAUAUUGACAUAUUCCUGCUCAGAACGGUAAAAGAAUUAAAUACUGAUACACUACAAAAUAAAAGUGCUGAGGACCGAGCAUGUUUCUGUAUGUCUUACAAAUAGACAUUCCUUGGCCAAAAAAAGUUUUACCUGUAGGCUACUAGUUGGCCUGAUGUUCACAAGGAGGAUCGAUCGCAAACAUAUAAUUUUGGUAUUAGUGUCACCUAACAAAUAUGGAAGAGAUAGCGGAUAGUUAGUAAAUGUAUAUAUUAUAUUACUCCUAAUUAUACAAUUUCUGGUUUACUAAUCUUAAUAUAUAUCUUACUCCCUAGAUUGAUGGAAUCUAAAAAAAAUCCUAGAAAACCAUGUUCAACUUUGUCAAAAUUAAUAAUCCCUCGGUUACAUUUUAUAAGAUUUAUUGUUUUUUCCUAAAGUCCAAACUUUUGAUCUUUGACCAAGUUUAAAAAAUAACUACACUACUAAAUAAACCAGAUAUGAAUAACAGAUGUUGAUUGUUUCAUGAUGCAUCUAUUAAAAUCAAUAUGAUUCAGUAUAACAGAUGUUGAUUGUUUUUCUAUAAACUUGAUCCAAGAUACAAGUGUUUUACUUUUGGAAAGAAAAUGUACCUUAUAACAUAUAAAGGAUGUAGUAGAAAAAAAUCAUUAUACAUACUAACGAAUAAACACGCAAUAAAAACAUAUUCCAUGAUAGAUUUUUCUUGUGUGAAGAGGACAUCUACUCAUAAUUUUUGUCUAUUGUAAAUAUUAUUAUAUUGACCCACAAUAGCUAGAUGUCAGUCGACAAGACUUUUGGUUUUGGGUCAGUCUCUUUUGAAGUUCGCCGGAGGAAGGCCUGAGGGAAGGAAGGAGAAGGAACAAGCUCGCCGGAGGGCUACCCCAACAUCUAUCUUAGGGUGGGGGUGUGGCAGCACAAUGGUGGUGCAACUUUGCCGGAGAANNNNNNNNNNNNNNNNNNNNNNNNNNNNNNNNNNNNNNNNNNNNNNNNNNNNNNNNNNNNNNNNNNNNNNNNNNNNNNNNNNNNNNNNNNNNNNNNNNNNNNNNNNNNNNNNNNNNNNNNNNNNNNNNNNNNNNNNNNNNNNNNNNNNNNNNNNNNNNNNNNNNNNNNNNNNNNNNNNNNNNNNNNNNNNNNNNNNNNNNNNNNNNNNNNNNNNNNNNNNNNNNNNNNNNNNNNNNNNNNNNNNNNNNNNNNNNNNNNNNNNNNNNNNNNNNNNNNNNNNNNNNNNNNNNNNNNNNNNNNNNNNNNNNNNNNNNNNNNNNNNNNNNGGGAGGGCAGGAGGCGGAGGGCAGCAUGACGGUGGGCCGCAGUUGUGGGGAGGACGGUGCGGGAGCGUCGCCGGCAACAUGCGGUUAGUCCGGCUUCGGCUGGGCGGUUUGAAGGAAGGAGAUGAGCUGGAGGAAGAAGAAGAAUUGCCCAUGGUUGGAUCUGCAUCCGAUGUCCCAAAACAAUUGGCUGACCCAAAUUCGAAAAUCAGGCAAAUUACAUCUAGCCAUUCUCAUAUUUAUCAGUACAUUCACAAAAUUAGUAUGAUAUUAUUGUAAGAGAAAGAGAGAGGAUAUGUUGUUACAAAGAUCUGACUACACAUUUUUAGGAUAUCAUCAAAGGACGGAGGCAGUAAUAGCGCUAGCAGCAUAAUAUCUAAAUUCUAUACUGUAGUAUAUACUUCGGAAAAGAAAAUCAUAGUACAUGAAAGAGCAGUUACCAGAUUUUCGGAAAUAGUAUCGCGACAGAGCAGCGGAAGUCACUCCAACUAUCACCACUGUUUCAAAUAGCCCGCUAUAGCUCCGCUAUAGCACGCUAUAGCGUUUACAAAAGGUCUUGCGCUAAGAGAUUUUGGUCCAAACAAAUGAACAAACAUUUUAAAUAGCGCGCUAUAGCUCCGUUAUAGCACGCUAUAGCAUUUGAAAGAGGUCCGGCGCUAAGAUGCUUAGCGCGCUAUUUAAAACUUUGACUAUCACAUCGUUCACAGUCUGCACAUGCAAACACGAUAAAAUGGAGAGAUGUUGCUAUAUAUAGGAAUCGAUCGAUGACGGUGCACGUACGUACGCAGUUCAUGGCAUGUUUCAGGAGCUUGACGUCGUCGAGGCUAAGGCUCCGGUGCACGAAGCGCUUGCGGCGGGGGAGCUCGCCGCCGCCGCCGUCGGCAGGCUUGAACAGUGUCUGUGGGUCCCUGACGAACAUGAUUGUGGCGACGAAGAGCGUCACGUCCACCACGGUGUGCCACGCGAGCAUGGCAUACGACCAAGCCCACGUGACGAACGCCAGAGCGCCUGCAGACCACGGGGGCCGCUGUCGCGCGUAGAUGGCGCCAGAGCGAGCGGGCAGCGCCGGCAUGGCCGGCAGCCUCGACGGGUCGGCGGCGCUGCGCGGGGACGCCAUGAGGAGGGUGAGCAGCGACAUGCCGUCGCCGAGGGAGUGAUGCACACGGAUCACCACGGUGGACGUCGCCUCAGUGGUCGGGUAGUUGAGGAAGUGGAGCUCCCAGAGCGGCCGGGAGCGGUCCAUGGGCGCCGUGGACAGCGAGGCCACGUAGUCCUCCACGGCCUUAUCCGGGUCGGACGCCACGGCGGCGCCGUCCAGCAGUGGGGAGGUGAUGUGUCAUCCAAGUUCAACGCCGACGCGUGCACCCACCGUGGUGGCUUGCCGUCUUUGGUCACCUGGAUGCUGUGGAACCGCGGGUGUCGCGCGAGCUGGGUCUCGAUGCCGCCGCGGAGGACGGGGAUGUUUAGGGGCACCCCAAGCCCCAUGCUGACGACGAUGUAGAAGCCGUCCAUCAGCCUCCCGGUAGGGCUCACCGGCCCCUCAUCCGCCGGCGGCCAGUCGCCGGACGUUGCUCUUGAGGCGUUGAUGGAGAGUGAAGGCUGCCUUCGUGCAGUACUACCACCAGCGUCCUCCAUUUUCACUUUCGUACGCGCUCGAUUGGUCCUUGCAUGCAUCGGUCGGCUCUGAAAUUAAUUUUGUACUAUGUACGCUCGGUUCCUAUAAAUAGGACAGGAAGACUGACGUGCGCCCGGGCAAAAUGCACUUGCUAAGGCUGGUUGCAAUGGGGAGUAUCAUAUACUAGCACCAUGCAUACGAUAUUAGUAUAUGUACUACAUCCGUAAUGCAUAGCAUCAUAUGUUGAUAUCAUAGUUGAUUAUAUUUAUUGACAUGCAUGACAUAAAGUAGCACAUCAUUUAAUAUGAUACGGUAUCAUGAUAUGAUACUCAAGCUUCUCUUUUUUCAUUUAAUUCUAUGACACAUCAUCAAGAUUGCUUAGUUGGAAUGCAUGAUACAACCGUACUACACUGUCCCGUUAAUAAAUGUUAUUUUGAAGCACUGUUUUUUUCUCAGUGUAGAAGAGCAUGCUCUAUCCAACGUAAUCAAAAGACCGAUCUAAUGAAAAAGACUAGACAAUAUAUUUAUACGUCAGGCCCAAAUAUGGAGUGAAAGUGGGUUGCAAUUUAAUUGUGUCAGUCGGGUCUGAACACAAGACCUCUUGUAUCUGAUAUCAUGUAGAAGUGUAUGCUCUAGUUAAUGCAACCAAAAGACCGAUCUAAUGAAAGAGACUAAACAGUACAUUUAUAUGUCAAGACUAAGACCACCACAUAUGUCACUUCUUCAUGAAAAUUUACACAUGGGUAGAUCAUUCCACUAGUAGAAAAGGGGGCGUUUGUCCCGGUUCGUAAGGGCCUUUAGUCAACCGGGACAUAAACAUGAACCGGGACUAAAUGGGUCGUUACUAUACCUCCCACCUUUAGUCCCGGUUCAAACACGAACCGGGACAGAUGGGCCUCCACGUGGCCGCUGCGGGCAGCCAGGCAGGGGGGGGGGGCUUUGGUCACGGUUGGUGACAUAAACCGGGACCAAAAGGCUACCACGCGUCAGCAGCUGGCUGGAGCUGAGCUUUUUCUUUUUUUUUUAAUAAAAAAGUAGCUGGUUUAGGGGUUUUGGGGGUUAAUUUUAGGUUGUUAUUAGCUAGCUAAUAGAGAGAAGUGUCCUCUCUUAUAUCUUCGUCCUUGAUUUACCAACGCUACUGCUUUCAUUUCACCCGCUGAUAUAUAAUAACUCAUGCAUGCUAGCUAGCAUCAUACAUGUCCUACUAAUCAUCAUAUAUAAUAACAAGUCCUACUAAUCAUGCAUCAUCAUACAACUUCUACUCGUUAUUAAUAAUAAGCACACGAUCAUCAUCCUCAUAGUCAUCGAACCCAACCCUACAUAAUUGUUCUUAGCACAUGAUCAUCAGUAUCAGAUAGGACCUAAACACCCUUAAGAAAAUAGCAUAAAACAAUAUAGACCUUGACUCUCCAUUAUGAAGAAUGGAGAUCAUCCUGUCUCCAAUUCUUGCGCUUCGCUUCCUUUUCCUUCCAAGAAGCUCCUUACGACUGUCCAUACAUUUUUUCCAUUCUUUGAUUGUCAUGUCUCCACUUCUGUUAGAAAUCCGGUAUGGACAAUUGAGAUUCGUAGGAUGACCUGGAUAUAUGUUCAAAACACGAAGGCUGCCAUUCUGAUACAUCAAAUGAGGCACACAAUCCUCUGGGAUUCUCUGUUGAAAAACAUAGUAAUAACUUCGUAGUUAGCUAUGAUGUAUUAGUUUUAGAAGUAUGCAAAAAGAUGCACGAAUGACGUAAUAGUAAAAAAUCUUACCAGGGUAUCUCCAUGGUAGUUACCGUAGUUCAACACGUGCACUAGUGGCACGUAUUGACCAUAAUGUUGAGGAGUUCGAUUAUAGACAUUGUAAUUCUCAAGAUCUCUACAAAAUGCUAUCAGAUGAUUUUUCUCCUUAUAAGUUAAUUCGGAGCCAUCGGUGUAGUGGGUUAUGUCUACCAUCUUCCACACAUUCUUUGAAAAAUCAAAAUAAGCUGUCAACUAUUUUGAAAUAAACAAUAUAAAUUACUUAAUAACUAUGUUAAGCUAGCUCACAUGGAGGAAGAAUUGGAGGUGUAUCCACAAGGACCCAAAUGUCCAUAUUGUCUUGCUCGAUUGUAGGAUCACCAAGAUCCAUGGUGACAAGCAUACCCUCAUCAAAACCAUACAUCUUGCAAAGUGCUUCCCAAUUUUUGCAAUCAAAAUGGGUUACACUCUCAGCAUUGAACAACUUUACUUUGAAAUCCACACCAUGAUGGGUCCUUACGAUAAUUUUUUUGGUUUCCACACUUUCAUGGUCUUCAAAACCCAUCCUCUCCAAGACAUAGCGUCUUGCAUAGCAUGGGAUAAGCUAGUCGAAUUGGAAAAGAUGAAAAAUACACGUUGAAAUACUUGAAGUCAUGCUUAAUUACGUAAAAAACACUUGUCGUUGUUGCGUACCGUUUCAACUUCGAAGGUCUCCUCGAGCUUAAUGCUGAAGCGCCGAUCUUCGUCCAGCUCAAUGAACCUGUCGCACAUACCUCGGUCGUCGUGGCACCAGUCGCACUCCGCCGGGCGACUUUCGUCGUCCGAUGAUGACAUUUCCUACAUUCAUAAUUCAAAGAUUAAACUUGUACAAUAAAAUAUAUAAACUACAAAAACUAAAUUAGACAAUUAUUAUUCAUCACGGGUUGACUAUCGGUCUGUCGAGUCUUUUCUUGAAAACUCUCAGCUCACGUGCUGUAUACAUUCGACCGUUGGUGAUGGUCGCUCCUCCAUUCGUCCCCGAGUGCAUUACACCAAAAUGUCUAGCACACGGGAACGAAGGAGAAGCGACCCCCACGACAACAGUCGGGAUUCUUCGUCCUCUCAUAUAUGGUGGAGACUUGACAGACUUAAAGUUAACCCGAAAUAUCGUUUAAUUUUCUUUCUAAAGAAGGAUUUGGCUGUGGUCUCACCUCGAGGUCGGAGGGGGCCGGUGACGGGGACGACGACGGGGAUGAUGGAGGGGGGAUCGCCUAGAUUUCUGUGAAAACAAAAACCCUAUAAGCUAUCAACUAAUCAUAUGCAUACGCCUUGCAUUUUGGCAUUCAAAGUAGGAGUACUUUUCCAAUAUGAGCAUUCAAUAAGCAAAACCAAAUCAUAAAAUAAAGUAGUAUUCAAAUUAGCAUGCAUUCAAUUAUAAGCAAAAGUACAUCAUCUCUUGUGUCCGUACAUUGUCGAAUAUUAUCACUAAUACUCCUCGAAUACUAUCAUACAUAUAGGAUCACUAAUACAGCUAGAACCGUAGCGCUCGACGGGUAUCGGCGCGGGCGGUGGACACCCAAAGAGAAGGAACCAUCAUAGGAUCAUAGCUCCAGUGAGAUCCCUGAAGAACCUGCCAGGUAUUGUCGAACCUACCCUCCAAUGCAACCAUGUAGCGACGGACGUGCUCGUCCUACUCGCUGACACGGUGACGUACCACCUCCGCAGUGUCCGGAAGCCUCGGCACCGUCACUGGCCCACGCGACCGCCACCAAACAAGGAUCAGGUCAACAACGGGCUGCCUCCUCACCAACCUACGUCCCCCGGAAGGUAGCACCUCCCAAUACCAGCCCGGCGGAACCCAGUCCCGAACAUGAUCAUGAUCAAGCAGGCCUCCACCGCCGAGUCGACGACGACGAGGAUGCGGGAUAGGCAUCGCCGACGUCGAUGCGAGAACUACUUCUAUAUAUAUUUAAAUAAAGUAGUUUUAUUAAUUAAAUCAACUAGUUCAACUACUAACCACUUACUAUAAAUAAAUAAAGUAGUACUUACUAAAAACAAACUACUUCUAUAUAUAGUAAAAUAAAGUAGUUUAUUAAAUAAAACAAACUACUUCUAUAUAUUGUAAAAUCAACUAGCUAGUUCAACUAUAUAUGAAGCACUUACUAUAAAUAAAAUAAAGUAGUACUUACUAAAAAUAAACUAUGAACAAAAGUACAAUAGAAAAAAAAUCAUAAAAUCCUAUGAACAGAAAAAAAUCAUAAAAAUUUGACAUAUUCGAUCUUUGCAUAUAUAUAUAAACAUACAAACAUGCAUAUUCAACNNNNNNNNNNNNNNNNNNNNNNNNNNNNNNNNNNNNNNNNNNNNNNNNNNNNNNNNNNNNNNNNNNNNNNNNNNNNNNNNNNNNNNNNNNNNNNNNNNNNNNNNNNNNNNNNNNNNNNNNNNNNNNNNNNNNNNNNNNNNNNNNNNNNNNNNNNNNNNNNNNNNNNNNNNNNNNNNNNNNNNNNNNNNNNNNNNNNNNNNNNNNNNNNNNNNNNNNNNNNNNNNNNNNNNNNNNNNNNNNNNNNNNNNNNNNNNNNNNNNNNNNNNNNNNGGCGCAGGACCGUCAGGGGGCAUUGGUCCCGGUUGGUGCCACGAACCGGGACCAAUGCCCAUCUUUAGUCCCGGUUGGUGCCGCCAACCAGGACCAAAGGCCUUGUGCUGCCCCGCGUCAAAAGUUUAGUCCCACCUCGUUAGCUGAGAGAGCUCGAGAGUGGUUUAUAAGCGCUGCUGCGCCCACCCUCUCGAGCUCCUCUCAAUUGCAGGCUUUCGGACCUAACCGUGUGCUGUGUGCGUGUGGGCUUAUUGGGCCUCCUGCGGGCCUGAAUCCUGGCCCAUGGUAGGGUUUCAAGUCGUAUUCAGGCCGUGGGGGCCCAGUAGGUGGCACUUUUUUUGUUUUUUGUUUUCUUUGUUGCUAUAUUUAUUUUAUUUUGUUUCUACUUACAACAAAAUACUUAUUGUUGCUAUUUUUAUUUAUUUUUAAUUAUUUUUCUUUUAGGUCACAAAAAUUAUAAACUUUCUGUUAGUGCCAUUAGUUUUCAAAUUUGAAUAGUUAAAAUUACUGUGUUUAAUAUUACUGUGUUUAAAAUUCAAAGUUUUUUUUCCAGUUUUUUUGUUUUGUUUUUUGCAUUAUUUAUUUUCUUUUGCUUUUUUCUUUUAGGUCAGCAAAAUUAUAAACUUUCUGUUAGUGCCAUUAGUUUUAGAAAAAAUAUAUUAUUUUUUGUUUUUUUGUUGCUUUAUUUAUUUUAUUUUGUUUCUACUUACAACAAAAUACUUAUUCUUGCUAUUUUUAUUUAUUUUAUUAAAGUUUAUUUUUAAUUAUUUUUCUUUUAGGUCGCAAAAAUUAUAAACUUUCUCAGCUAGCGAAGGUGGGCAUUGGUCCCGGUUGUUGCCACCAACCGGUACCAAUGCAGUUGAUUCUUUCUGCAGCUGUUUUUUAGUCCCACCUCGCCAAGCGAGAGGCACUCGCAGCGGUUUAUAAGCCCUGAGUGCAGAGACGAUGAAGAAGAGGCUGAAUGCUCACCUGCACGUUGCUUAGCUUCAAGCCUUGAGGAUUAGCGUAGACUGCACGGAGCUAUGUGCAGUGCAGUUUACACCAUUCCGAAAGGCUUGAAACUAAUUAACGAGCAUUGCGCCUCUUUUUUAUUUUUAAUGACUUAUUACAACUCAGAAAUAAAUAGAAAAAAGUAAAUAUAGCAGAAAAGAAAAAAACUAUAUAAAAAACUAUUCAGAAAUAAAUAGAAGAAAAAAUAAUUGUGAUUAACUUUACUAAAAAAAUUAACAUAGAUGCGCUUAUAGAGAAAAUUCAACCUAAAUUCAUAAUAAAUUUCUACUAACUUCAGAAAAAUUCAGUAUGAAUUUAGGUCAAAUUGUCUGUAUAAGGGCAUCUAUUUUCACUUUGAGAGGAGCUCAACAAGGCAGAGAGGGAGGGGCUUAUAAACCGGUGUGAGCGCCCUUCGGUUGGCGAGGUGGGACUAAACACUGACCGCAACGAGGACCAACCAUUUAGUCCCGGUUGGUGGCACGAACCGAGACUAAUGGGCGGCCUUUGGUCCCGGUUCAUACCACCAACCGGGACCAAUGGUGGUGAGGCCCGUUGGUCCCGGUUCGUCCCACCAACCAGAACCAAAAGGUCCAGACGAACCAGGACCAAUGGCCCACGUGGCCCGGCCGGCCCCCGGGGCUCACGAACAGGGUCCAAUGCCCCCAUGGGUCCCGGUUCUGGACUGAACCGGGACUAAUGGGGUGGCCCGGCCUGGACCAUUGCCCCCUUUUCUACUAGUGUUCAAGCUACUUUUUGCCAAAUUUUGUAGAAUUUAAUUACUAUUUUUGAAAAAAUUACAACCGAUUGACCAAAACUUUGGUCUUUCCAGUGACAAGGACUUAUGUGAGUUCACACUGGCAAAAGAAAAUCACCCACAAAACAACAUUUGAGUGAAUAAGAUUUGCCCUCUCUCCAUGGGAUAUGCAAAGCAUUUGUCUUCAAACACACGAUAGAAUCUGUAGGAACACGGUGGUGAAGGUUUUUACAUAUCUCAGUCCGGACGUUUGAGGUCGGUUUGGAGUGCCCGGAUGUUUACAUAUAUCAGCUAGCAUUCCAGCCAACUGCACUGAAGAUAGAUUCUACUACUACCGCUCCACUCUGCAUGUCAUCCACUGUCCACUCAUGGUCGAGGAGUCAUUGGCGACCAUGUGACAAGUGACAAAACACCGGGCUGUUCCACAUGUUCUAGUUGCACAUGCAUUAUUGCGCUUGGACUUUUCACCCCAUGUACUACGUUGAUAAUACAGUAUCAACCGCAAACCACCUACAGUCCGACACACAACUUGAAUGCCACGCUUUACCAAUCCAUAGUGUGAAUAUGUAGGACCAAUGCCACGCCUUUAUCUCGCCCCCCACCCACCAGCGUACCCAGACUGCAGGAUCCGACCCGGCUCUAGUGUGAACUAGAUCGGGAUCGCGCCUUGGCGCGGGGUACCGGUCCCAACGUUUGAUCAAACACGUAAUGAUAAGUUAGUGGUAACCCAGAUUUAGCAUAUGCAUUCAAAUAGAAUAACAACAAAGCUAAGGAAAAACAAUUAACUACGGUAAAAGCAAGAUAUAUUGAUGCCCAAAGAUGGUAAGAGAUUAGAAAGCAGAAUUGAUUUCAGAUGGUUUAUAAUACCACAAAAGAUUAUGGCUUGUCAUGAAGUUUGACACUAAAAUCGCAGCUACUUGACAUGAAGUUCUGACAUCACAAAUGUGAAUACAAGGCAGGAAGUAAUAAAGGCAUGAACAUAGAGGAGAAACAAUGACAGAGUCAUAUCUACUAAGCAUACUAAUAAACGGCUUCAGUCAACUGCCUUGUCUUUUAAUUCUGUAGGUGCCACGACACAUUAUUUAUAGGCAUCAAUUCACACUAACAAGUUCCUUUACUCAUCUGCCUGGUUGAUAAUCUUCACAGGCGCUACUCCAUAUGAUCCUGACGCAGAUAAAACCUGUGAGAUACGCGGCAUACCAUGAUAGCUGGAUAAACAAUGCAUUUGUGAUUCAUGCCUUAGCCUUUUUAAAGCAUACAAACAGUGAGUGUUGGUUCGAGUCACCGCGCCGUGGAAACUGAAAACGGAGACCAUAAAAUAGGGUUCAUUGGUUCAUACCCCCGCCUGUUGCGCUUCUCGUGUAGAUGGGCCGGGCUUGGUUAAAGGUCGGUGGGCCUGCCAAUAAGAUUCAGUUGUACACAACUUCAGACAAUAUAAGCAUAUAUGAUUCUCAAAAAAACUAAUAUAAGCAUAUAUUUUGGGUAUAUUUUUCUGCCAAUGACCCCAGCCCCUGCUAAGCCCCCUGACCUUCAGAUUCCUUCUUUCCACCUUAGUCUUCAGAAUCCUGAUCUUCUUGUCCUUCUUGUCUAAACUGCUCGACAAUUUUUAUCUCGGUCUUAAUCUUCUGCAUCUGAGGGCAAUCGAACUCAACAUCCAUAGUGGCUUGAAGAUGCUCCAAGCACCGAGUAGCAGCAUUUGCAUGGCCUCGCCGGCAUCCACAGCUGGGUCGCCAUUAAUCCUCAUAUAUGUUCUGCCGCUGCAGACGAAUGUGACUGAUGGCCAGAAGUAAGCAGCAGCCACCACACUGCCACGAUAGGUUGUGUAGGUCUUGUAUUUCACCUCAGGAAAACCAGCUUCAGCAAGAACUGCGCUAAGCAUGGCCUUCGGCCUAACCAUGACAGAACGCUUCAUCUGUUAAAAUAUGUAGAAAGGAAAGUCAUUUACACAGGGUAUGCAUCACAAGAGGAACAUGUGCAUAUACCAUGCUACCAAAGCCAUAAGUAGCAUAUCAAAAGGCAGUUCAGGUCCCAGGCACAAUUGCCAAGGAAACAAAUGAAACCCAUUUAUUAUGUAAGCAGCCCUGUGCAUCAAGAAAAACUAUACAGUUUAAAAGACCCACUAAUGCGUCGCCACCAUUUCAAACAGCAUGAUUAGUCCGCACUGGACAACCUCUAUAACCAAGAUAUAGAGCACACAUAGAUCACAACAUAGGCCAUAUCAUCGAUAGGCAUAGUGUACGUGUACAUGUAAAAUGCAAGCGAGACACGAAACAACAUCCAUAGCGGGCAUACUAAAUACGAUAGUCAAGUAUCCAAUUACAUUCGCCAGCAACCAAGAGCUAAAUAAACGAAGGCCAAUACUGAUCCUAGAACCAACAGCGAAGGGUGUUUCACAAGCACCACAUUAAAUUUUUCCGUGGAUGGCAAUAACAGAACAUCAUAUCAUAGACAACACGGCACGACAAAAGAGACGAUAUACCUAGAGAGAAGCUUCACCAUCUAUCCCACGUCGAGACUCCCACUCGCCAGACCAUCACUGCGAGAGAACACAUAACCAACACGCCAUGCCCUGUAAAAACACAGGUUCAAGUAAGAGCCAAACCAUGUAUAGCACACGAGGCAGUUGAUGAUAGAAAAGGUACUAAGCAGACACACCAAAACUAUAGGCUACCUAAGGGCAUUUGAUCUAAAGCUUGGCCCUUUUAGCCACAGAGGGCUCGGCUUCAUCUGCCGCCAGGUCUUCAGUUGAUUUGCUUCAAUAACAAAUGAAAAUUAUGUGAAAGAAGUAAGAGAUGAUGCAUAUACUGUCAAAAACCUGCAUCAAAGCUCGAGGUAGCAGCAAGUUCAUCACCGGGACCAACGGAGCUGCCAUCCACUUUUGCGAGUCCCUAGCAGGUAUAAACAGAUAUACAUCGUCAACCGACCACCAAACAAUCUUGAGAAUAGGUGUGGAUGAAUCUUCACCAAGCAAAUGAAAGGAAAUACCUGAGCAUACCCAUCGGAAAACAAAGAUAUACGCAGUCCAGACUUAUGUAGACCACUUGCUGGCACUUUCUUUACACCGACACUGCAGGUUAUAGAUUCAACAAAUACACAACAUGCAUCAAUUACCAAGCAUAAAAGGCAGAAGAAAACUACAAACAACACAGGGCACUGAGCUAGAGAAACUAUAUACCUGGGCAUCCAAAAGAACCAUGUCAGUGUGUUUGAUAGGACCGUUAUCAGUGGUUCCACGAUGCUGCCACAAACGCGAAACAUACACACGAACAGUCCAGUUCCUGUUCCCAACAAUAAAAGCCUGCAGACCAGCCACCGCCAUCUAGAUCGGCAAUGCGCCUUGGCGCGAGGGUGCCGGUCCCAACGAUGUGCCCAAGCAAGUAAUGGUAAAGUUAGUAGCAAGUUAGGCUCACCACAAUUGUGUUGGGUGGGAGUUGAAGAGGGAGGUAGGGAUGUUGGCCUGCUCCUCUCAAUGAUAUCAGAUAUAACCUUUCAUCUCAAUGUAUUAUUUAGUUAUGUUACAUGCAGAAUGAGAUACAAAAAGAACAUGUAAUAUACAAAAAAGGGAACGCAGCAACAGCGGAAAGACGUCAGUUUGAGGCUAUUAGGAACAUGGGCUCAAGUGUAGUUUAAAAUUGAAACAACUAAAUGUACUUUCUCCCUCCCUCUCCCUCCCUCUGUGUGAAAAUUACAGAGCUAGAAGAUAUCAUCAUAGAUGGUACGACAUAAAGAGAAAACAAGGACCAAAGCGCAUGCCACUUAUGCAUUUUAUCUAAAAUUUGAAUAUACAAAGAAGAAAGAGUGGAUGCCAGUAUUAAUGCAGAAAAGGAUCUAAUAAUUCUCCAACACACAAGUAGCCUAAGCAAUAUAUUUACAGAACAUGCAUAUAUAUAGAACUUAGUAAGUAUUUUCUUAUUACUGAUUAGAGUAACCAUAGCAUAAAAGGUUUUUAGAUAUUGUGAAUCAUAUUUUCUCAACCUUAAUAGUUUCAGGAUAAAAUUAGAAGUCUCUGAAAACAAAUUGUUGGUUGCGCUACUUUGACAUCCUUCUUCUGGGCAUUAUCAUGUUAUUCCAACGACACCGAAUGAACUAUAGAUAGAACAUUUUGUUAAGACAACCCUGCCAUGCAACAACAGUAAGGGCCAUAUUGUCCAAAAAAUCGAUGAAAUCAAAAUGGAGAGUUAUUUCUAAUUAGGCAAGCAAAUGAACCAGUCUAGACCUUUUCAGCGGGUUAUAGAGACGUGUCACACAAGGAUAAUAAAAGGGACCAACAAAAAAAUAAAAGAUCAAGAACCAAAAACAAACAAUAAAAUAUUAAAUCAAGUAUAACAAUAAAAGACCAAGAACAACUUAUAUGGAACUUACUCUUACUCUUAACCAGAUUAAGUUAAGGACCAACAACAAACAAUAAAAGAUCAAGAACAACUUAUAUGCAAUAAAGAUAUAAGAGAGAAGAGAUCUAUACAUAAGACGACUAUAAACACCGGAGCAUAAAUAAGCAACACCUUUAAAUCAAAUAAAAAGGGUUCAGGGUCCAUUGCAUAGUGGGCUCAGAUUCGCCUUUCCUCAAUCAUAUUACCUACCCCGUCAUCUCUUAUCACCAGAUCAAUCUGUUUAUACAGUUGAGCUGCCCUGGUUAUCACUCAACAAGAAUGACCAUCCAAGGACAGAACAACAGGUAUCACAAGAUCAAAAAGGACUCUAGAGACACGAGGGAGGAUCCAACUUGAUACCCACAGGUGCCUCGAUUGCUCAAAGGCACACUUAUUUCAGCCACGGCAAUCAUCAUCGCCCUAGCAAGAAUGGCUUCCGACCGAUGGGGCACGUGAAUUACAGGCCAGGCAUAGGAUUUUUACAGCAGGAGGUAACUAUUCAUUCCUACAGUUACCCCUCUCCGAUCCGGCGGCCCAGCUCCUCCCACCUCUGGAUCCAACGGCCGAAAAUACAUCAAGCGGCCAGAUCCAACGGCCAGGAAUCCAAAUCGCUGAGGUGGCUCGGUGAAAGCUUCGUCUCUUAUUUCUGGACUUUAAUACCCACAUGAGACGACUAUAAACACUGGAGCAUAAAUAAGCAACACCUUUAAAUACAAAUAAAAAGAGUUCAGGGUUAAAUGCAUAGUGGGCUCAGAUUCGCCUUUCCUCGAUCAUAUUACCUACCCCGUCAUCUCUUAUCACCAGAUCAAUCUGUUUAUACAGUUGAGCUGCCCUGGUUAUCACUCAACAAGAAUGACCAUCCAAGGACAGAACAACAGGUAUCACAAGAUCAAAAAGGACUCUAGAGACACGAGGGAGGAUCCAACUUGAUACCCACAGGUGCCUCGAUUGCUCAAAGGCACACUUAUUUCAGCCACGGCAAUCAUCAUCGCCCUAGCAAGAAUGGCUUCCGACCGAUGGGGCACGUGAAUUACUGGGCGCUGGCACGAGACAUUUCACCGCUGAGUAACUAUUCAUUGAUACAGGAGCUCGGGUUCGAUCUGACGGCCAACGUCAUCCAACGCCUCAAUCCAACGGCCGGAAACGCAUCAAGGAAACGCAAUGGACGGCCAGAUCUUCCUAAUCGCUGUGAGAGCUCAGUUAUCCCCGCGGUUCUUGUUUUUGGAUGGUUAUUAGUAUCACUCAUCAAAAAUGACCGUGCAAGGACAGAGCCACUAAAAUAGAAUGUGAUCAAAACGGGUCAAAGAAACAAGGGGGGUCCAACCUAAUACCCACAUGUGCCUCGAUUGCUCGAGAGCAUGCCUAUAUCAGCCAUAACUGAUCAUCAUAGCCCUAGCCAUGUCCCAUAUACAGUAGCCAAAGCAGAGGAGUAGGAGGAAGAUGGAGCUCACCGAGGGAGGUUGUAGCCGAGGCAGUGCUCAGUGGGCGCUGGGGUUGCGCCUGAACGCCAUCCAGCCGGCGAGGAACCACUUCCUACACCGCACAUCCACGCCGCCGCAUCGGAGUCGUGCCUUGCACCGUCCCACCGACGAGGACGAAUGCCACGGGCACUGAAGCAGCCAAGGAGGUGAGGAAAUGAUGUACAUCCAGGAGCACCACUAGGGGCAGAGAUGACCGGGGCACCAAUUUUGAUGUUUCCAGUUCUGAUGCCAUGCAAAUGAAAAGGUGAGAUUGAAUGAGAAUAAGUCAAACAUUCAGCCGAAGACAACAGUGUUUGCUACAUACUGUAUAAUUGACUACCUAGCUAUUGAUGAUUGCCUAUCUUCAGGCUUUGCCUUUUACCUUGAGCUCACACCAAGAUUACCUGCAAAAACAGUAGAUAUGCAUUUCAGUGCUAAGGCAAAGACAAAGAAAAGAAAAAUGAAAGAAGAAGAAGAAGAGAAAGAAAAGGAGAUAGCUACAAUCCAAGGAAGGAAUGCCUAACACCGCACCCAAAGCGAAAUAAGAGGUAGAAAAGACGACAAAAUGAAAUAUUAAGCAAAUCUCUGGAAUGAAAUUUCAAACCAAGAUGUCCUGAUAUAACAGAAGGUCAAACAUGGGCCUAUAUGAAAUAGUAACUACAUGCAAAUAUCAAACAGACAAUAUAUGAUUUAGAGAUGCAUCAGUUAAUAAGCAGUAUUGUAGAUGUUUCCUAAAUAUUUAUCUAGCAAGUGUGCAUCUAUAGUUGGCAACAUGGUUCAGAGAUGCAUCAGUUAAAACCUUUUGGGCUUCUAUAGAUAAAUUUACAAAAAUUCUACUAUAUUCCUAUCUACAGAUAAGGUUCUAGGAUGUGAAUGCACACUUGCUAAAACUCUUUGAAUAAAUGCCAACCAUGUUGCAGUUCAUGUAUAAACCUAACUAUUCGGUAUAUGCAUGCACAAUUGCUAAACAUUGCAGCAAAUCGUAUUUUAUGAAUCAUAAAAUGAGGGUGUGGAGCUAAUGAAAUUUCAAUGAUAACUCCAACACCACAUCAACAGAAAGUUUAUUGGGCUAAACAAAUGAAAUAGUUGCAGUUUGUACCUAUUCCAAAACCAAGUCAUGUACCAACUCUAGAGGACCACAACCAAUGUCUGCUUCAAGUUCCUUUAACCCUUCCUUCCUUAGCUAGAGCACAAGGAAGAACACAAAAUCAGAUCGUGAGAACUACAAAAAUGUAAGUCAUUGAUCCUAAGCACUCACCAAAGCUAGCCAGAUCCUCCCAUGGCAACCAAUUGGCCCUCCACAGUAGAACCUCACCUCUGGCAUCGUCCACUUCUCGUAUGUGCGCCUCAUUACACCUGUGCGACGUUGGGCUAGCUGUAGCUGGUGACCUGCAAGGCAAGAGGAGCAACAGUCAGAGCUCCGACCAUGGCCACCGCGUGACGUAGAGGGGCAUCAUUGAUCUCACUCACGUGUUGGACACCAUAUCCGGCGCCGCCAUGAGCCGCUUGACGCCGAGGGAGAGAGGGGCCGAGCAGUUGCGGGAGUGGCAGCCUUCGCUCCUCCUAGCGAUGGGGACGCUCGAGCUCGACGGGCGAGUGGCACAAUAUGUACAUCCAUUUGAGCAUACAAAAUUAAUUCCAUGAAUGUAGAAGUCAAAAGAAAUCAAAAUAAAAAGAUAAGAAAAACAAACAUACAACUACAAAGAUGAGCAGAGCUAGAUCAAGGAAAAGUAACACAAGCCUAAAUCAGUAUAUUGCUAAAUUAAGUUUAACAGAAACAGCAGUACCACUAUAGCAAUAUUUUGGACCAGAUUAAACUAAAGCCCACAUAGUUUAUUACCCAAAACUUCCUGGCAACACAUCUAUAAUCCUAGCCACUAAUAAUUCAAUCGGCCAUGUCAAUUCAGAGCAAAGAACACAGGCAUCAACCAUCCAUGUGCAAACAAAAAAAUCCCACCCCUAGUAGGAUCUACACAAGAAACAAAAAGAAACACCUAUAACCCACAAAAGAACAAACAAGGAAAGGAGCCCACAAAAAUCCAACCAGGGGAUAAUACCUUUUGCCUCUACCAGAAAGAAGACAACAAAGAGAUACAUCCAUUGGCUAAACUACAUACCAAUCGAAUCUAGCGGAAGAGGAGCUUACCCAUCUUCUUGUUCUUCCCGCGUUUCUCCGGACGAACGGCGGCGGCUCGGGUUGGAGCAGAGCUUCGGGGCAGGGGAAGGCGGAUAGCCAAGGAGGAGAACGAGCACCGCUGCCGUGGCGGAUGGAGAGGCGACCGUCGGUGAGGAGGACGAGCGCCGGAGCCGUGGCGGAUGAAGAGGUGACCUCCGACGAGGCUUGUGGCGCCCAUCGUCCCCGAGGAGGUUGACCCGCGGUGCCCACGCCUCCGGCAACCGCGGCACGAAUCCGCGGAGGCGCGCCCACAACCGGCGACGCCCUCUGGCGGCGAUGCGCGUGGCGGCCGUGGACGGGGAGGGUGGCCAGCGAGGAGUGGCGGCUAGGGUUCAAUCGGGGGCGGGGCGAGUGGGCGCUUGGGAGAAGACAUGGUGCGGGGUCGCGGGGAGGAGAGGAGGCAGCGGCGACGCACGAGAAAGGGAGCGAGGCGGCUAGGGUUUCACCACGGGCGGGGGGGAGGCGGCGGGGCAUCGGCCACNNNNNNNNNNNNNNNNNNNNNNNNNNNNNNNNNNNNNNNNNNNNNNNNNNNNNNNNNNNNNNNNNNNNNNNNNNNNNNNNNNNNNNNNNNNNNNNNNNNNNNNNNNNNNNNNNNNNNNNNNNNNNNNNNNNNNNNNNNNNNNNNNNNNNNNNNNNNNNNNNNNNNNNNNNNNNNNNNNNNNNNNNNNNNNNNNNNNNNNNNNNNNNNNNNNNNNNNNNNNNNNNNNNNNNNNNNNNNNNNNNNNNNNNNNNNNNNNNNNNNNNNNNNNNNNNNNNNNNNNNNNNNNNNNNNNNNNNNNNNNNNNNNNNNNNNNNNNNNNNNNNNNNNNNNNNNNNNNNNNNNNNNNNNNNNNNNNNNNNNNNNNNNNNNNNNNNNNNNNNNNNNNNNNNNNNNNNNNNNNNNNNNNNNNNNNNNNNNNNNNNNNNNNNNNNNNNNNNNNNNNNNNNNNNNNNNNNNNNNNNNNNNNNNNNNNNNNNNNNNNNNNNNNNNNNNNNNNNNNNNNNNNNNNNNNNNNNNNNNNNNNNNNNNNNNNNNNNNNNNNNNNNNNNNNNNNNNNNNNNNNNNNNNNNNNNNNNNNNNNNNNNNNNNNNNNNNNNNNNNNNCGGGGCCGCGGUCAUCGGCCACGGCCACGGCGAGCGGGAAGGGCGGGACGACGGGGCCGUUGUCAUCGGCCACGGCCACGGCGAGCGGGACGGUCGGGGCGGGGCGGGCGAGACGGGGCGAGCGAUGCGGCGGGGCGAGCGGAUGGGAAGGGAAGAGAAGAGGCGGCUAGGGUUCUACGGGAGGAGCUGGCGUUUAUACCCAAUAGUGAAAUGACUAAAAUGCCCUCGGGGGGCCGCUGGAAUUACACGCGGUGGCACGAGAUUUUUUACAGCGGGAGGUAACUAUUCAUUCCUACAGUUACCCCUCUCCAAUCCGACGGCCCAUAUCCUCCCACCUCUGGAUCCAACGGCCGAAAAUACAUCAAGCGGCCAGAUCCAACGGCCAGGAAUCCAAACGGCUGAGGAGCCGGGAGGAUCAGCGUCAUUCUUAUUUCUCGAUAUGUACGACCAAUUACAAUUAUAGCCUGACACAACAUGUACACAUACUAUAUUAGUAUGCUUACACAUUAACUCCAUCAAGCGAGGUUGUUGUGUUAGGUGACGUGCAAACUAUUAUUAGUACCCAAUUCUGUUUUUCCACUUAGUUAGACUGAUAGAGUUUUAGGAAAACAGAUGAGAUGGACUAGAGGGAUUAGAUAUUCUGUGUUUCUAGAAAACUAUGAGGUGGUAGAGGAGUGAGACAUAUACUGUAUCACUAAGUUCCCAAGGAUUGGAGGCCUCACAAUCAGCUGAGGUCUCCAACUGAAAUUUGGUAACCAAAUUUUGACUGGAUCAACAAUUUCUCAAAACUCUUCCAUUCAUUUUUUUUAUACAAUACACUAUGCUUCCUAAUUUUUUAAGCUUCACAACUAAUUGAGGCUUCAAUUUAAAAUUGGGCCACCCGAUUUUGACUGGGUCAAUGAUUUCCGAAGGAGCUCUCCCGAUUAAUUAUUUUAAUUUUCUAUGUUUCUAAUUUUAAAGCUCUUUUAUUCGAUUGAGGUAUUCAAUUUUGGAUUUGAUUUAUAAUUCUAAUCGGGCCAACGAUUUAUCAAAUCAAUCAGCAGCAACCGGCCUAUAAAAACAUAUCAACCACUCGCGGACUCCCAUCACCCAGAAAAAGCGCCACCAUGUGAUGCUAUAGCAUGAAUAUAGUACAUGCAACCACCGAUGCAAAAAAAUUCCCACAUAAAUAUGGGUUAAUUAGUGGAUAACGCAGAAUCACGCUGUUAAAGGCCCACCAAAUAACCUCAUUAUAAAUAAACAUAAAACACACUUCAUCGUCUCCAACACUGGUCAAACUAAAUAUUCCUUGUGUCAAAAUAUAUGGGGCAUUAGUUUUCUGGAAAGUCAAUUUUUUUUUAAUUUUGACCAAAUUUAGAGCAAAAAAUCGGCAUCCACAAUAUUAACAAAAAUAUGUGAAAAUUCAUUUCAUGAUGAAUCUAAUAACACCGAUUUGAUAUUAUGAAUUUUGAUAUAUUUCUCUACAAAUUUGAUCAAAACUUAAAUAAGUUUGAUUUUUCAAAAAUAAUAAUACACCAUUUAUUUUGAAAUAGAGUGAGUAAAAAAAUUUAAGAAUCCCAACAAUAUCAAUGGCGCAGCAAAGCGUGUCCAACCCUUCCAAUGUUGAUGAACUAUCAGAGUUGAACUCGGGAGAGGAGAUCAGGUUAUGUGUGUCAAUGAAAGUGGGAAGAUUAACUGAUGACAAAGAAGUAGGACUGUGGUUUCAUUAUCGUAAGAGUGGUAAGAAUUUCUGUAAUCUCGUCAAAUAUUUCAUCACACCCCUUUUCUAUGCCUAAUUUUAAAGGUAGGAUUGUUUGUCCACUUGUUUUCUUCGUCGAAGCAUUUUCGCAUGUCGUCCUUUUAUUGUGGAUCAUUACGUUUGUGGUCUUUUUUUUUGUCGGUCGUUUGCUUUCACGUCGCCUAUGUCAAAAUAAAAAGGAAAUGUUUGUAGAUGCCUUAAGAUAAGAUUGUCUUAUCAACAGCUAUAUAUGCUCCACAGUUUGUUUUCAUUUAGGUGUGUCAAGAGAUUUGCUGGUGUUCGUUGAAACGUCCAUGGCGUGCAUUGAUAAUCGGUGAGGGCAGGGAUCCUAGAUAUUUUAGGUUCAAUUUGUCAAUAAUUAGGGCCACUACUUAGGUAAUUAAUUGUAUCCAGCUCUCCCCUGCUAACCAUACACCGUACAACACAAAGGUGAUGAUGAUGACUCUUGGGUUCAAUCAGAUCAUUACUGUGUCGGUGCCAUGUGGGAAAUCGCAUUCAGUGGAACGGUCACAGGUUUUAUGGUGACGGUUAUCUUUACUCUGUUAAAUAAAUGAUAGAAUAUUUUCAAUAUUCACAUAAUGAAAUUAUUAUAUUCAAACAUUACAUCCCAACAUAUUGUCCCCUUUCACCGCCCAAUGAUGCUCAAUCAGAUAUUCCUUCAGUUGCUCAUGAGUUGGUCGAUGCCGAAUUUGUUGAUGCAUUCGAAUAAACUCCUCAAAUGUGGUCGGAUUUUGGCCCGGAAGUUGGAUAGGAUCACCCAUCUUCUCAAAUUCCAGAGUUGCGGCAGCAUCGUCACCCUCAUCCUCGACGAUCAAGUUGUGCAUGAUCACACAACAUGUCAUCACCUCUCACAAGGUUUCUGGGUCCCAUUGUUUAGCAGGUCCACGAACAACAGAAUAACGUGUCUGCAGAACUCCAAAUGCCCUCUCAACAUCAUUUCUAGCUACUUCUUGUCUUUGGGCAAAGUGAGCAUUUUUCUUGCCAACUGGGUUUCAGAUGAUGCUGACAAAGGUAGCCCAUGCAGAAUAGAUACCAUCAAUCAAAUAAUAGCCCAGGUUGUACUCAUGUCCAUUGACAGCGUAGUAGCUAGGAGGAGUUUUUCCUUCAGUCGGCCUCGCAAAUAACGGCGAUCGUUGCAGCACAUUGGUGUCAUUGUGAGACCCGGGCAUGCCAAAGAAAGUGUUCCAAAUCCAAAGAUGCUGUGAUGCGACUGCUUCAAGAAUAAUGGGGGGCUUCUUAACAUGGCUUUGAUAUUGCCCUUGUAAAGCCUUUGGGCAAACAACCUGGCCAUGAGAUUGCCAGGAGCCUCUCAGUGUCUGUCACAGUUGAUUUUCUUAGAUACUGAGGUCCGUACACCUCGACCACGACAGUUGCCAACCUGACCAUGGCAUCUCCGCAUAUAGUGUAGUUGUAUUACUCAAUUCUACCUUCUCCCUUCUGGCCCAUUAAUUCCAAGCCUUCCAGUGAUGUGUGUUUAGUGGGAGAAGGCGUCUAUGGCAACUCCGCAAUCUCAAGAUGAUUUGUCGGCUCAGUUUCUUGAAUGUACUCAAAGAAGUAGAGUGUGUGUGCGUACGUUUAUAAAUGUGAGUCUUCGUGCAUAUGUAUUACUGUUUUAAAAAAUAAUCAUGGAGCCUUCCACUAUCCAAUUUGCACCGCAUGGAUGCAUCUUACAAGUUGACUUGUAACUUGUAAUAUCUUCAUCUUGACAGGGCUCUAUUCACCUUGUUUUUCCCAAGAUCGCUAAAUAUUUUUUAGAACACCUUGUUUUUUUCAAGAUCGCUAAAUAUUUUUUAGAACAACUGGCUUCCGUCCUAUUCCCAUCAUUCUGCGCGUCAUAUCGUCCAUGGAGGAGCCGCGGCCACCUGNNNNNNNNNNNNNNNNNNNNNNNNNNNNNNNNNNNNNNNNNNNNNNNNNNNNNNNNNNNNNNNNNNNNNNNNNNNNNNNNNNNNNNNNNNNNNNNNNNNNNNNNNNNNNNNNNNNNNNNNNNNNNNNNNNNNNNNNNNNNNNNNNNNNNNNNNNNNNNNNNNNNNNNNNNNNNNNNNNNNNNNNNNNNNNNNNNNNNNNNNNNNNNNNNNNNNNNNNNNNNNNNNNNNNNNNNNNNNNNNNNNNNNNNNNNNNNNNNNNNNNNNNNNNNNNNNNNNNNNNNNNNNNNNNNNNNNNNNNNNNNNNNNNNNNNNNNNNNNNNNNNNNNNNNNNAGUUAGGAAGGUGUCAAGUGCGCGGCGAGGUGGUGGCUGCGUUGGAUAUGACCGGUGGUCACGGGUGCCGCCCGAUCCAGAUUGGAUCCAUCUCGAUCCUGUCUUUGAACACCGUUGGCCGCCGCGGGGUGGUGGUGGUCGUCGCUGGCCACGUCGCAUUGCUCGAUUCGGCGUCUAGAGAUCUAUGAUGAGUUCUUCUCGGUCCUCCUUCCUGGUGGGCUGAGCCCCAUGGCUGUUUCAUCUCUGCAGGUUUCGGUUCAUGGCUUGUUGCCGGAUCCGGGGCACAUGGAGGUUUGGUGGUAUAGGAUGGGACCGGAGGAAACUUUGGUCGGCUUGUUCGGCCUGGCAUCAGCGACGUCACUCGGCACCGUUACCCUCCGUGGAGGCGAAGCCGAGGUCUGUCCUAUCCACCCCUAAACCCCUCCGGAACGUAAGUCCAAAAUUCAGUCUGGAUUGGCUGCAGCGUCCUGCGCGUCGUAUCCUCCGUGGAGGAGCCGCGGACACCUGCCUUGUUGGUGUGGCUGGGGCGCGUGUCAAGACGGUGCUGCAGAUUGCAAUGGCGCAUCCUGAGGAGUUCCACCAGCUGCUGAUCCGCGGGACAGCGUCGCUCAUCGUGGAGGACCUGCACGAUUCUGUCCUCUCCCGGUACUCGCUUACAGUACCAACGUCCAAUUGCACAUCUUCCAUCGACUUAGACCAUACAUGGAGCUCAAGUCUGCGGGCUGGGGCACAUGGAGGAUGGAGCUCGGUCUCCGGCGGCGAGAUCUUGCCUUACCUCCCGGACACCAUCAGUGCCCUCAAGGACAUGGCGGAUGCCCUUAAAAUGUGGCAAAGUUAGUUGUGGCAAAGUUGUCAUGAACCAAACAUGCCCUUAAAAUCAGAGAAAGGCUAUCCAGUUCAGCAUUAUUUGUUUUUGACACUACCUGUAGGUACUACACACACACUAUUUGUAACUAGUACUGCAGAACUAAGGCCACUAAAAAUUUGAAAUUCUGUAGCCAUUCUGCUUGUCCUUACAGUACGACCGAAUCCACUAAAAUCUUGAAAUUGUGUAGUUACUCUGCUUCUCCUUACAAUAUUGAAGGCCAGUACUUGGGCAAUCGCAGCCUUCUUUCCAUCCUCGAUGAAGUACCAAUAAUUGAGCAGUGGCAGCAAAAUACCUUGCAAACAGUACUGCAAUACAGGAAACAGAACACAGAAAAAUCAAACUCACAAUGGUAGGAAGUUUUCAACUUCUGCCUGGAGGGGGUCCUGGACGCAAUGCUUCAGGGCCAGGUCAUCCUUGUGACGCCUUACUUCCAUCUAUGUUUCUCUUCAGUAUUCCUCCAAACGCUGUGCUCGGGUCUUGAGGUGUGCAGUAAAAUUGUAAAACUCAGUGGGCUAGUUCAGGUAGUGGGGACUUCAACUGAGCAGGUACUACAUAGAUAUGUUGCUGAACAUAUGAAAAUGGUGCUGGACAUAACUGAUUAACUGAUUAUUACAGUAUGACUCUUGGUGUAUCAAACAUGCAUUUGGGGCAGGCAGGUUGAGCAUAUAUGAUCAGAUAGGAAAUAUUAUCCAUGCACUGUAGGCUGACAUAACUGAUUAACUGAGUGAGUAGCUCAUAGUAAGGUAUGAAAUAUAUAGAAGAUGGAGUGCAUAGUGCUAAGAAAAAUGCUGCAGAGGAUAGAUCAUAUCCAUAGGAUCUAGUAUUACAUAAUCCGGACACUGAAUUUGACUGCAGGCAGAGUGAGUAGCUCAUAGGAAGUCUUCAUAACUAGGGACUGGUACUGAAUCCUGGAAACAAACAGAGUGCUAAACUGAAAAGAUCUAUGCCAAAGGCCUAAGUUUAUUUGACUGUAACAAAGACAGUCGGUUGGUGCUGAUGUAGUUUGGCUAUUCAUUAGGAACUGGAGCGGUGAGCUUCUCCUCAGUCAUCUCACCUCAUUAGGAGGGAGCUGGCGGCGUCGAACUCCAAUGGCCUGGAUGGUGCCAAGUAGCAGCUUCGGUGGAGCAGGAACUGAUACCAACACAUUCUAAAGUUUGAUUUAGGACAGAAAUAAAAGAACGCAUUGAUUAGGUGUACCACCGUACAUACUCUAUCAUCUGGUAUGUAAUUUUUAUUAUGUUUGAAAUGUUCUGCAUUUCCGAUGAACUUUUAUAAUAGAUCUGAUCCUUUCCAAAAAAAAGGUCAGCACAAGCAUUUUUUUUUUCAAACCAACCUUGUCUGGGAGCAAUGGUUUCCAACAUACACCCUUUUUUGACGGGACAUCUACGCCGUUUUUUUAAUGUAUAUGUGACAGAAACAUGUUGGUAGAAUUUGGGCUUCAUUUCGUUUUGCAAUGGCCCUUCUCAAAAACAUACUUGUAGCUGGAAGCACCCUUUUAUUUGUAUGUAACGGAAACACAUUGGCAGAACUAGUAAAUAACAUUUAUUUUUGAACUCGGGUAAUCCCCUUUCCAUUACUCUCAUAAUGCAAAAUUACACAAGUCUGAAUAGACGUUUAGGAGGUGGGAAAGAGAAAUAUCAAGUUCAACUUAUCGCCAGGAAACCGCUGCGAGUGCGCGCAAUGGACACUCACUAUGGGGCGAAAACCCAAUGACACCAAACUAUACUAACAAUGCCAUACAAAGCUCAUGCAGUAGCAGCAGCGGCCAAAGGUACCAGGAGUCUGAAGCAGCACCUAAACAGCGACAAACCACCACAAAACAUGCAGAGCUCUAUGAGCCAGAGCAAGUAAAUAUUUUCUGAAGUAAGGAAUCCAACAAUGAGUCGCAGUUGUUUACGAAUUAAGGAGCUCGGGUGAGCCCAGAAUUUCAGUCAUUACAAACAUGAUACUACACCCUCAGGUUUGUCCGGUUCAGAUAAAAAAAAAACAUCAACAUGACAUGAGCCAGCCAUUCGAUGUAACAGCAACAACGAUGGCUCUCAGCCGAAACAGAGCAACUUACUACAACGCUUUACUAAAAAACCAAGCAACAUCUCUUUAUGCAAGCGACUGUCAUUUAAAAGGAGCACAUCACACAACCUCUCGGAACCUUUUUAUCCUUCAAUUUUUUGCAUGACCGGUGCCCACCCAACGUUUAUGAAACAUCUCAGACGCCACUAGCAGUAACCUGCGCCCCUGGUACCUGCACAACGCAAGUCUUUCUUCUGUAAGCUAUACCAACAGAACAUCCAAAAUGCAACUUUACCAACUACACAGAUUAGGUACAAAUGGAAACUAUUUCUGAAGCAAGCAUCAUUUCCUCAUUAGAACCACC
This 49063-nucleotide long non-coding RNA is filed under the name Triticum aestivum (bread wheat). Its description in RNAcentral is "long non-coding RNA (TAES_LNC024903)". The record is from RNAcentral. Lineage: Eukaryota; Viridiplantae; Streptophyta; Magnoliopsida; Poales; Poaceae.